GCACAGCCUGGGUGGAAAUGGAUGGACUGCGGAUCUCGCGCACCAGCUGAUCCUGAUCGUACAUGCCCGCUGGUGGGCAGCACGGAGCCGGGCGUUCCUGGCAGGUGGAGGCGGGGACCAGGGCACGGGGGAUGAAGAAUCCCAGGAGGGGCGGCCAUUGGAGCAGGGAUUGGGUGCACCUAGGAAUGCCUCCAAGUCGUGGGGUCGCGCGCUACUGAGCUCCCUUCCAUGCUGGGAUUUCACUGCCGUUUCUUAAGAUCUGUUCCAUAGUGGGCAUGACCCAGAAUCUGGCUGUUAGGAUCAUCUUGAGCAGAUCCAAAAUCCCGUUGGCUUCAGGUGAGUAGAACUGCAAGAAAUUUACACGCUAACAUGUUUAAAAUAGGUUCCAGGAUUGUAGAUAUAUAUCUAUAUCUAUAUAUCUAUAUCUAUAUCUAUAGAUAUCUAUAUCUAUAUCUAUCUAUCAUCUAUCUAUCUAUAGAUAUAGAUAUAUAUCCAAAAAAUAAUAAACAAAAUAUGUGUUUAUAUACAUAUAUAUGUAUAUAUACAUAUAUAUUUAAAUUUUUUCUACAACGAAUGUGUAUUCUUACAUAAUUAGGAAAAAUUAUUUAAAAACUGUGUACAGGAAAGAAAUGCUUUGUUACAUUUAAAUAUUGUGGAAUUGAGUUUGUAGGGUGUGCGGGGUCUGUUCUUUCCUUUUAAAAAGAAUAUAGUCACCAUGCUGUGCAUUCUAUGCCCAAGAUUUAUUUCGUAUACCUGGAAGUUUAUGCCUGGAAGUCUGACCAUCUUUACCCAUUUCACUCACCUUUGCCCCAGCCCUCACCUCUGGCAACCACCAAUCUGUUCUCUGUAUCUAUGAAUUUGGGGGUUUUACCCCUUGUUUUAGAUUCUCUAUGUAAAUGAGAUCAUAUAGUAUUUGUCUUUCUCUUAUUUCAUUAGCAUAAUGCCCUAAAGGUCCAUCCAUGUUGUCACAAAUGGCAGGAUUUCCUUCUUUUUUUAUGGCUGAAUAAUAUUCGUGUGUGUGUGUGUGUGUGUGUGUGUGUGUGUGUGUGUGUGUUUACCACAUUUUCUUUAUCCAUUUAUCCAUCAUUGGGCACUUAGGUUGUUUCCAUGUCUUGGCUAUUUUAUAUAAUGCCGCAGUGGACAUGGGGGUGCAGAUAUCUCUUUGAGAUAGUGAUUCAUUUCCUUUGGGUAUGUAUCCAGAAGUGUAAUUGCUGAAGCAUAUGGUUUCACCAAUUUACAAUUCACUAACAGUGCAGAGGGGUUCCCUUUUCUGUACAUACUUGCCAACACUUGGGAUUUCUCAUCUUUUUGAUAUAAUCUUUCUAAUAGUUAUGAGUUGAUUAUCUCAUUGUGGUUCUGAUUUGCAUUUCCCUGAUGACGAGUGAUGCUGAGCAUCUUUUCAGUUGUCUGUUGGCCAUCUGCAUGUCUUCUUUGGCAAAAUGUCUAUUCAGUUACUCUCCCCAGUUUUGAACUGGGUUGUUUGUUUUGCUGUUGAGUUGUAUGAGUCAUAUAUAUACCUAUAUCUAUCUACCUAUCUACCUAUCUAUCUAUAUAAAACAUAUCUAUAUGUUUUAUAUAGAUAGAUAGGUAGAUAGAGGUAGAUAGAUAGGUAGAUAGAGGUAGAUAGAUAUAUAGAUAUGAGUUCUUCUUAGAUGUAUGAUUUGCAAAUAUUUUCUCCCAUUUUAUAGGUUACCUUGUCGUACCUUUUCAUACCAUUCCAUAGGAGACCAUUUUUGGUGAUGGUUUCCUUUACCAUCAUGGUAUGGAAACUUUUUAGUUUGAAGUAGUACCAUUUGUUUCUGCUUUUUGUUGUCUUUGCUUUUGAUGUCAUUUACAAAAAAAUCAUUGCCAAGACCAAUGUCAAGGAGCUCACCCCCCCCCCAUGUUUUCUUUUAGGAGUUUUAUGGUUUCAGAUCUUACGUUUAAAUCUUUAACUUAUUUUGAGUUAAUUUUUGUGUAUAGUGUAAGAUAGCGGUCCAGAAUCAUUCAUUGCAUAUGGCUGUGUUUUCCCAACACUAUUGAAGAGACUGUUCUUUCCCUGUUGUGUAGUCUGGGAUUCUUUGUUGUGAAUUAAUUGACCAUACAUAUGUGGGUUUGUUUCUGUUAAUAUCCAUGUUAAUCUUCUGUUAAUCUAUCUUUAAUCUGUGUCUGGUUUUGUUUUCAGACCCAAUACCAUACAGUUUGAUUACUAUAACUUUGUAAUAUAGUUUGAAAUUAGGAAGUGUGAUGCCUCCAGCUCCAUUCUUUCUCAAAAUAGCUUCGACUCUUUGGGGUCUUCUGUGGUUGCACACACAUCAUAGGAUUGUUUGUUCUAUUUCUCCAAAACAUUUCCCCAGGAUUUUGAUAGGGGUUACAUUGAAUCUGUAUAUUGCUUUGAGUAGCAUUGCUAUUUUAACAGUAUUAAUUCUUCCAACCCAUGAGCACAGAAUGUCAUUUUAUUUAUGUGUCUUCAAUUUAUUUCAUCAAUGGCUUAUAGAUUUCAGUGUACAGGUCUUUCAUCUCCUUGGCUAAAUUUAUACCUAGGUAUCUUAUUCUUUUUGGUGCAAUUGUAGUAGGAUUGUUUUCUUAAUUUCUCUUUCUGAUCAUUUGUUAUUAGUGUAUAGAAACAGAACUGAUUUUUGUAUAUUGAUUUUACAUCCUGCAACUUUGCUGAAUUUGUUUGCCAUUUGUAACAGUUCUUUUUGUGUGUGUGUGUAGAAUCCUCAGGGUUAUAUAUGUAUGCGUGUGAGUAUGUGUAUAUAUAUAUAUAUAUAUAUAUAUAUAUAUGAUAUAAUAUCAUCUGUAAAUAGAGACAAUUUUACCUGCCUAGUUGCUUUGGCUGGAACUUCCAGUACUAUGUUGAAUACAAGUGCUGACAGUUGACAUCUGAUGUUAGAGAAAAAUCUUUCAGUUUGUCACCAAUGAGUAUGAUUUUAGCUGUGGGCUUGUCAUAUAUGGCCUUUAUUAUGUUGAGAUGUGUUCCCAUCACACCUGCUUUGUUGAGGAACACUUGUCAUGAAUGGAUGUUGAAUUUUGUCAAAUGCUUUUUCUGCAUCUAUUGGGUUGAGUAUAUGAUUUUUAUCCUUCAUUUUGUUAAUGUGAUGUAUCACGUUGAUUGAUUUCUGGAUGUUGCAUUCCUGGAAUAAACCCUGCAUGAUUGUGGUGUAUGAUCCUUUUAAUGUAUUGUUGAAUUCAUUCUGCUAAUAUUUUGUUGGGGAUGUUCUUUCCUUUGAAGUCGUCAUAAAUACCUGCAAGGAUGUUCUCUCACAUUUCUCCUAUCUUAUUCUCUUUCCUCCUCAAGUUCUUAUAUCAGUUCAUUCUUUCAAACUACUCAGUGUUAAAGUAUCAGUGCAGGCACAGUUGUGGUUGGAAUAGUCCUGUCUGAAUUUGGCCAGUUGGCCUACAGUGGCCAUGCAGAUGGUGGCCAGAGCCAGGAGAGAUGCCUGUCCUUGGAUGCAUUUCAGUAUCUUUAUUUCAAUAAAAUACUUUGACUUCAUAUUAAUCUUUCUGAAGCUUUCAUACAUGGUCUGAGGAAAGGAGAAUGGAAUCAUCAGUUAAGGCCCAACUAUUUUGUGAAUGUACUGAGGCCAUGUUUUUAUUCACUCCCUUGCUGCGACAGUUUGGAUCUUGGUAAACAGGGCAAGCCUUGCAGUCAGAUGGAACCUGCGAAACUAUAUGUAGCAAUCAAGACACAAAUCAAUCUUAGCCAAAAUAUGCUGAGAAUGAAACAAAACAAAAUAGAAUAAAACGAAAAAAUGACUCAUUGCACAUGGCUAGCACAGCCUUGAUAAUAUAAGGAUAGUAUGGAAAAGUUGAAUUUAUCCCAGGAAUCCAGUCAAUGCAACGUGAUAAAAUUAACAUCAUCUGUCUCAUUCUUAGAACAAAGGAGAAAAAUUUUAAUAAUAGCAGAUGCAGAAAUAGCUAUCUACCCUUACAGGAGAAGACAGUGGAAGACAGUGGCUAAUUGACACAAUAAUAGACCCAUUUAUUGAUAGUUGUUUUUUGAUAAGCUAGAGCAAAUGCAGAGCCCUUUACAUACACCAACUUAAUUUCCAUUGCUCUCUUUUGAGAUAAAUGCCACUUACGUAUUGCUGUUAUUAUUUUAAUAUGUAGAUAAAACUUUAGAUAAGUUUUCUUCUCAAGGUUAGAAAAGUGUUCCAAAUCUCAUUAAAAACCCUUUCUUUUUACAGUCAUUUAGAUACUUUCUUAGAAUGCCAAGGGCAAUUAUAUUACAGUUUUCUUGAAAUUCACAGGCAUACAUGUAACUCUCCUAAAAAGUAGUGGGCUGCAAAGGGAAAUGAAUGCUGAAAGUAGGUGUCAGAACUUCUCUGUGAGCUUGUAGCUAACUUAAAAAUAUUCUUUUUUAGAAGUAACAUUUCCUUUUCCUCCCCUAUUCUUAGAAGAAAUAGAUCAACACACAGCUGAAAUCAAAUUAGAGAACCAUUCACAUAUUUUUCUGAAAACCUAGAAUUAUUCUUUUAGUAUCUAAAGCCUAUGUAACACAUAUACACAUCUGUAUAACGUGAAAUAUUAAAGUGUGAAAUCAUGGGCGCCUGGGUGGCUUAGUCAGUUGAGCAUGCGACUCUUGGUUUCUGCUCAGGUCAUGAUCUUAGGGUUCAUGAGUUCAAGUCCCGCAUCGGGUGAGCCCCACUUCUCUCUCUCUCUCUCUCUCUCUCUCUCUCUCUCCCCCUCCACCCCCUCUUGCCUCUUGCUCACUUGUGCAUCUCUCCCUCUCUCUAAAAAAAAAAAAAAAAAAAAGAAUGAAUGAAUGAAAGAAGGAAAAAAAGGAAAGAAUUGAUUGUCUUAUUUUUAGAAAUUUAUUUACUGACUGCCAAUUUGGUUUUUUAAAAAGUGGACCUAAAAAUAGUUCUUGUCAAAGUGGUCUUCAGAAAUACAUUUUUUAAGGGGGGGCCUGGGUGGCUCGUCAGUUAAGUGUACAACUUCAGCUCUGGUCAUGAUCUCAUAGUUCUUGAGUUCGAGCCCCACAUCAGGCUCUGUGCUGACAGACAGAUUUUGUGUCUCCCUCUCUCUCUGCUUUGGAUUUGUGUGCCCCUCUCUCUCUGCCCUCCCCAGCUCAUGUUCUGUUUCUUUCUCUCUCUCUGUCAAAAAUAAAAUAAACAUUAAAAAAUAGAAAUAUAUUUUUUUCAAAAGAUUAUAAAUUAAGUAGCAUAAAUUAAAAAACAUAAAGCAAAAUUUUAAAAAUAUACUGAUUAUCUAAAUGUUUAAAAAAUAGAGUAUUCUUGCUACCUAUAUUUUGCUUCUUAGCCGAAUCUGCUGAAAUGUCACUGGUAUAUUUCUCAAACAUUUAUUUUUCAAUAUGAUCUUAUUAGAAAUUUUUGACAAUUUUUCAUCCAUUGUAUUAUUAGCAAAUUUGAAAUUACUGUCAUCGUCAAUCUGGUCUGUUGACGGCCUCUUGGCUUCAUAGGCACGUGGCCUUUACAGCCACUCUGAGCCCUUGUCAGAAGGGCCACACUUGGUUUAAUGCUUUCUUACUACCAUCUUGAAUCUCCAAGUUUUGAUCAGAGUGUCCUUCAUUUUCAUUUUGCACUGGAUCCUGCAAAUUAUGUAACCAGAACUGCUGUAGAUUACAGCAUUUUUUUUUUUUAACUGAGAAAACACUCUUUUUUCAGGUGCUGAGGGACCUAGGUAAGUUUAGAGCAAAUUGUGAAAAAUAAGGAUCUUCACAGUUCUAUUUUUUUCAUAUUAAAAUUGAUAAAGCAAAUUUUCAACCUUUAAUAAGUUUGUGGGCCCUGCUCCUGGGCUCCCAGGGAAGCUCUACUUGAACUUUUACCAAGGUCAGAAUGACUUCACCAAACCAGAACAUGAGCUCUCUUUCUGCCCCCGCACACAUUGUACAUCUGCUUCCUUAGCAAAUAACCUAGAAGAAACAUUUCAAACUAAAGGUAAGAGCAAAAGUCUCCCUAAAUUCCCAUCUAUACCUGGAAGCCUGAACCUUGCACAUGCUAAAAGCAUAAGAGAAAGUUUGUUAUUUUCUGUAAUGUCUUCUGUUAUGAUGAUUUGUAACUCUUGAUGCAACAAAAAACAUACAUAACUCUGUAUUGCACAUGGCCUCCCUGCAGCACUCUCUUCGUGAAGAUCGAGUAUCCCCAAUAGUCGUCCUCCCUUGAGCUGAAAUAAAGCUCUCAUCCUUUUCUUUUUUUAGAAAUUCUAAAAGAUUUGUUCAUUUUGCGUUGACAAAAUGUGUAAAUGUGUACAUAUUUCAGUGGGAAUAUUUCCAUAUGUACAGUCGUUUUGCCUCCACACAACAUGCAUUUCUUUUCCGAAUAUUUUUAUAGGACAAAACUUAUCAAAUGAUUUGUCUAUAUAAUUCUUUUCAAGUUUUCACCAAAUUUAUAUGCUACAAACUUUUGGACCCAGUUUCAUUGGAUUCUUAUAUAGAGUAUACAUUUAUCCAAUUAAAAAUAGAAACUCUAUCUAAAGAUUCUUCCCUCCCCCCUGCAGCCAGGAUAUUCCAAAAUUCAGUUAUAGACUUUCAGAAUUCAGUCCUGUGUACAGUUGAGCUCAGGUUAUUUUGUCACUUACUCCAUGUUCUUGUAGGUACAACUUUGAAUUUUGUGUUUGACGAUUUCCAAAUCAUCAAAAUUUUAUUUUAGAGACUCCACUCUGAAUACUUUGAUUAAACAUUUCUAAUUGAUUUUGAACAAAAUGCACGUGACAUUUAGGAGACUCACUUCAAAGGUUAAUAUCAUCAUUGGACAUUUAGGCUAAUUUAAGAUGAUUCUUCCAUAAAGCACAUGUAACUAUAUUCCAUCUGCUGAUAGACGCCAAAGAGGAAAAGCAUGUACUUCCACGUUGACAUGUGUAUUGUCUUCAUCAGCAGCUUCAUCACAAAUAGUUUGUGGUUGUGAUGAUAUAAAAAAUAUUUUUAAGUUUGCACAACUACAUACUAUGUUUCUUGGAAGAAUAUUGCAACUUGUUAUCGCAGUCUGAUCGGUGUGUAUAUUAUAACCAGCUCCAAGUCAUUUCUUCUCCACAGGUUUUUAAUUUAGUAAGAAUAUUGUUUUUGCACAGGGUAUGUUCCAUCAAAAUUUGAUUCAUAUUGCCAUUACAAAAAUCUUCACUGAUACACAUUUUAACUAAGUUAAUAACAGCAUUUAUUCACAAAGUAUUACAUAUUUCACCUCUGGGAGACACAACUCCCAAAAGCUUAACUUUGAUUCUAUCGAUGAAUGAAAUGAAAAACUUAAACUGCUUUUUUAUUUGAAGCCUUGAUGAAACUGGCUUUCAAAAUAUGUAAUUUGUCUUCUGGUACUGGAGCUAACACUUUCACAUAUUGGUUUACCUUUUGAAAAUGGCAGAAACUAAUUUAGAAUAACAGUCAUUUGAUCAAAUGAAAAGUCUGCUUAACAAAGUCACAUGUACAAUCACCCCCCCCCCCCCCCCGAGCUCCACUUAUUAGAUUGUCAUCUGUGGGUAGAAUUUUCUUAAAUUAACUACUGCCUUUUGAAGGAAAUGCUGGUAUUUUCUUUGAGUGAGAGAGAGAGUGCGCGCGCAAGAGAGAACAUGCGCACAGGUGGGGGAGGGGGAGAGAGAAAGGAACAGAGAAUCCCGAGCAGGCGUGUGGAGCCUGAUGUGGGGCUUCAACUUAUGAACUGUAAGAUGAUGACCUGAGCUAAAACCAAGAGUUGGAUGCUUAACCAGCUGAGCCACCCAGCGCUGGUAUUUUCUUUUGGAUAGUAUCUUGGUCUUCACAUGGUUGGAGAUCUCGCUGUGCUACCCACUAUGGUGGGUGGUAAACACCAAUCUGUGCACAUUACACACUCUGUUUCUUGAGAUAAGAAAACACAGUACUUAAUUUUUGAGCCCACCACUUGCUGAAAUGAUUUAUUGCAAAAUAAAGAAGUAUGGGGCGCCUGGGUGGCUCAGUCGGUUAAGUGUCCGACUUCGUUUCAGGUGUGAUCUCACCAUUUAUGGGUUCGAGCCCUGUGUUGGGCUCUGUACUGACAUCUUAGCGCCUGGAGCCGGUUUCAGAUUCUGUGCCUCCCUCUCUCUCUGCCCCUCCCCCACUUGCACUCUGUGUCACUCUCUCUCAAAAAUAAAUAAAUAUUUUAAAAAAUUAAAAAAAAAAGAAGUACAACCACACAAAAAAUGUCUGUAGGUUUUCACUCAAUAAUGAAUGAUAAAGUCACUGUUGCCAGAGAGCUUAGACUUUUUUUUCUAUAAUCUCUAUAACCAGAUUUUCUAUAAUACAUCAUAACUGGAUUGGUCAGCCUCUAUUUCCCUGUACAUAUUUUACAUAUGUCUACACUAUAAUUUUCCAUGUUUCCAACUGACUUGCCAUAUGGUGGCCUCUCAUAUGCCUUGUAUGAACCAUGGCACAACCAAGUGGCAGAUGAGGAAAGAAGUACCAAAUACUUCUCCCACCGACGCUGGAGACCAGAAGGACUUACCUGUACCUAGCUGCUAUGACCAAGCAUACCACCUUGCCAACAGAUAUGCUGUGGUUUUAUCAGUACGGUAGUUCCUUAUAUACGCAUACCUCGGAGAUCUUGAGGUUGGGGUUCCAGACCACCACACUAAAGCAAAUAUUGCAAUAAAGCAAGUCAAAUGAAUUUUUAAUUUCCCAGUGCAUAUAAAAGAUAUGUUUAUACUAUAGUCUAUUAAGUGUGUAGUAAUAGCAUUAUAUCUAAAAAACGUACAUAAUUUAAAAAUACUUUGUUGCUAAAAAUGCUAACCAUCAUCUGAGCUUUUAGUGAGUAAUCUUUUUUUUUUAAAUUUUUUAAGUUUAUUUAUUUAUGAGAGAUAGAGACAACAUGAGUGGGGGAGGGGCAGAGAGAGAGGGAGACAACCCGAAAGAGGCUCCAGGCUCUGAGCCGUCAACACAGAGCCAGAUGCGGGGCUUGAACUCAGAAACCAUGAGAUCAUGACCCGAGCCAAAAUCGGAUGCUUAACUGUCUGAGCCACCCAGGUGCCCCUAGUGAGUAAUCUUUUUGCUGAUGGAGGGUCUCGCCUCCUUGUUCAUGACAGUUGAUGGAUCAGGGUGGUGGUUGCUGAAGGUUGGGGUGCUGUGGCUAUAGCUUAACAAUGAAGUUUGCUGCAUUGAUUGACUCUUCUUGUCCUGAGCAAUUUCUUUGUAGCAUACAACGCUCUUUGAUAGCAUUUUACUCAUAGAAGAACUUUCAGAAUUGGAGACCAUCUUCUCAAAUUCUGCCGCUGCUUUAUCACCUAAGUUAUGUAAUAUUCUAAAUCUUGUGCUGUCACGUCAACAAUCUUCACAGCAUCGUCACCAGGAGAAGCUUCCAUCUCAGGAAACCACUUUCUUUGCUUCUCUGUAAGAAGCAGCUUCUCAUCCGUUCAAGUUUGAUCAUGAGAUGGCAGCAGUGCAGUCACAUCCUCAGGCUCCACUUCUAGUUCUCUCGCAGUUUCUGCCCCCCCUGCAGUUACGUCCUCCACUGAAGUCCUGAUCCCCUCGAAGUCAUCCAUGAGGGUGGGAAUCAACUUCUUCCAAACUCCUGCUCAUGUUGAUGUUUUGACCUUUUCCCAUAAAUCGGGAAUGUUUUGAAUGCCGUUUGGUGAAUCCAUUCCAGAAGUUUUUCAGUUGACUUUGCCCAGAUCCAUCAGAGCAGUCAUGCUCUAUGGCACCUCUAGCCUUACAAAAUGUGUUUCUUAGGGGCGCCUGGGUGGCGCAGUCGGUUAAGCGUCCGACUUCAGCCAGGUCACGAUCUCGCGGUCCGUGGGUUCGAGCCCCGCGUCGGGCUCUGGGCUGAUGGCUCAGAGCCUGGGGCCUGUUUCCGAUUCUGUGUCUCUCUCUCUCUCUCGGCCCCUCCCCCGUUCAUGCUCUGUCUCUCUCUGUCCCAAAAAUAAAUAAACGUUGAAAAAAUAAAAAAUAAAAAAAACAAAAUGUGUUUCUUAGAUAAUAAGACUUGAAAGUUGAAAUGACACCUUGAUCCAUAGGCUUCAGAAUAGAUGUUGUAUUAGCCAGUGUGAAAACAAUAUUCAUCUUGUACAUUUCUGUUGGAGCUCUUGGUUGACCAGGUGCAUUGUCAACGAGCAGGAAUAUUUUGAAUCCUUUCUUUUGAGCAGUGGGUCUCAACAGUGGCCUUUAAAUAUUCAGUAAAACACAUUAUCAACAGAUAUGCUGUCAUCCAGGCUUUGUUGUUCUAGGGCACAGGCAGAGUAGACUUAACAUAAUUCUUAAGGGCCCUAGGAUUUCUGGAUGGCGAAUGAAUAUUGGCUUCAACUUCAAGUCACAAACUGCAAAGCCCCUAACAAGAAUGUUAGCUGACCUUUGAAGCUUUGAGGGCUGGCAUUAACUUUUCUUCUCUAGCUAUGCAAGUUUUAGAUGGCAUCUUCUUCCAAUAGAAGUCUGUUUUGUUUACAUUGCAAAUACGUUGUGCAGCUGCCUUCCUUAAUGACCUUAGCUAGAUCUUCUGGAUAGUUUGCAGCACUUGCUGCUUUGCCUUGCACUUUGAUGUUAUGGAGAUGGCUUCUUGCCGAAAACCUCAUGAACCAGCCUCUUCAAACUUCAGACUUUUCUUCUGCAGCUUCCUCACCUCUCUCAACCUUCAUAGAACUGAAGAGAGUCAGGGCCUUGCUCCGGAUUAGGCUUUGGCUUCAGGGAAGGUUGUGGAUGGUUUCAUUUUCUAUCCAGACCACUGAAACUUUCCCCAUAUCAGCAGUAGGGGAGUUUCACUUUUUUAUCAUUCAUGUGCUCCCUGCUUUGGCACUUUUAAUUUCCUUCAAGAGUUUUCCCUUUGUGUGUACAGCUUGGCUGUUUGCCACAAGAGGCCUGUCGUGGUUUUUGACAUGCUUUGCUCGUUCUUGUAAUCAUUUCUAGAUUUGAUUUAAAGUCAGACAUGUGUAACUCUUCCUUUCCGUUGAACAGUGAUUAAUUUCAAUAUUUUCAGUAUUGUUGUGUCUCAAGGAGUAGGAAGUCCCGAGAAGGGAGAGACAUGGAGGAAUGGCCAGUCAGUGAAGCAGUCAGAGCACAACAAUAUUUAUCAGUUAAGCUCUCCAUCUUAUAUGGGCAUGGCUGGUGGCACCCCCAACAAUUACAAUAUAACAUCAAAGAUCAUUGGUCCUAGGGGCGCCUGUGUGGCUCAGUCGGUUAAGUGUCCAACUUUGGCUCAGGUCAUGAUCUCACAGUUCGGGAGUUCGAGUCCCAUGUCGGGCUCUGUGCUGACAGCUCGGAGCCUGGAGCCUGCUUUGGAUUCUGUGUCUCCCUUUCUCUCUGCCCCUCCCCUGCUCACACUCUGUCUCUCUCCCUCUCAAAACUAAAUAAACAUCAAAAAAAGUUUUAAAAAAAGAUCACUGGUCAUAGAUCAUCAUUACCAAUGUAAUGACAAAGUUUGAAAUAUUGCAAGGAUUACCAAAAUGUGAGACACAGACACAAAGUAAGCAAAUUCUGUUGGAAAAAUGGUAUCAAUAGACUUGCUUGAUGCAGGGUGCCACAGGCCUUCAAUCUGUUUAAAACAAAAACAGUAUCUGCAAAGCUCAAUAAAGCACAGUGUGAUAAAACGAAGCACAGUAAAAUGAGGUCUGCCUGAAUGAUGUGCUUGAGAAAAGGGAGGGUCUGGAAAGGGUCAAGAAAAAAGAAAUUCACUAGUUGCCUUUUAGAUUUAACCUCAGGUUAUAGUGAGUAGUGCGAACUCUAUGAAUUGCUGCGUCAGUUACCAAUUUACUGUCUCUCUGCUCUAUCUCCACUGUUCACUGAAUCAGUAUUACUACUUCACCAGCAGGUACAAUGUUGGAUUUGUCAGUAGGGAGCGCUGGAGAGACAGUUCGAGGAGACAGCAGUGGAGAGGCCCUGAUUUCCCUCCCAGGUGCUGGUCCUCCUAUGGUUAUUCAGUGCAGGGGCCAGCAACCCACAGUGACCGUUUCUACCUGCAUUCCCAUGCUUUCCCUGUGCAGUGGCCUUUCUGCAGUCACAAAGCCCACAACCCCAUUCUGCAGUCAUUAAACCUGCAACCCAGGCAACUGUAUCCCAUCCUGGCAUUUUGCUUCUACAGACCAGCUUCUCCCACCAGCAACAGCCAACAGCGUCUCUGGACCAGCUCUGACCCAUGCCCUCUGGCCGGUGGCUGGCUUUGUGUUCCUGUGGCAGUCACCCCCUCUUCAAAGAGCUCUGGAGCUCAGUAGGGUUCUCCCAGGUCGUUGGUCCUUUCGUUGUGUUCCAUUGUCCACUCUUCUCAGCCCGAGGUAGCAGCUGGCCCUUUGCACUGCCUGCUUCUGCUCUCCUGGAUCCCAUUUCACUCCUUUGCUUAAUGAGCAAUUCUGUAUACUGAUUCCCCUGUUCAAAUAAUGGAGGUAGCUAUGUCUCCUAAGUGGGCCUUGACUGAUACUGCACAUGAGAGUCACACACUGUCAGCCAAGACCAUGGCAGAAUCUUUACAUACUAAACAAAGGUCUACCAAGCCUCUCCUGGUUUAGUUUAAUGUAACUAUUAGCAGAAAUCCAUUAAAAAUGAAAAAGCUAGGACAGAUGCUGAACAGAUGGUCUGAAGUCAGGACAAUAGGUAUUAAUGGGACUGUCCCAGGCAAACCAAAGUGUAUGAAUUAUACUAUACCACGUUCCUAGAGGAUAUGAGGGUUAUGUUUCUAUUUAACUUACUACCUGCAGUGCUAGUCAAAGCCCCCCGAAAAGGAAUGAACAUAUUUAGGAGACAAACAGACUGCUCUAAUUAUUUGUCACACAACUCCUUCUCAUUUAAUAAAGUCGACCUUUUUUUUUUUUCCAGACAAAAUGAGCUCAGGAUCUUUCUAACAAUGGUAGUAGUAGGUCUCUUGGUAAUGACAGUACUCAAAAUUUGGUUUGAUUCAUCCUUAUGCAAUCAAGACUAACUGCUUGGUACACAGGAGUCAUUCUGAGUCUUUAACUUUGUGUGUGUGUGUGUGUGUGUGUGUGUGUGUGUGUGUGUGCGUGUGUGUGCAUAUCAUCUCCUGGGCCCUCAAUUCCACUUUUACUGUGUGCAUCAUUGCUUUGCUAGAGCAUAUCCUGUGGGAGCUUUCUGCAAAAUUGUCUCAUGGGAGGUAUGUUUUUGGAGACCUCUUUGUAUAAUUUUUUUUUUUUUGAAGGAGAGAGAGACAGAGCAUGAGCGGGGGAGGAGCAGAGAGAGAGGGAGACACAGAAUUUGAAGCAGAGACUUCUUUGUAUAAAAAGGUCUUGAUUUUGCCAUUAUUUUGGCUACUAUUUUGAAUGGGAGUAUAAUUUUGGUUUGGAAACUUUUUUUCCUCAAAUUCUUAAAGAUGUUGCGCUCUAGAAUUCUCUCUUCUAAUGUUGCUGUUAAGAAGUCUAAAGACAUUCUGAUAUUCGGUCCUGUGCACCUGUGUAUGGGAGUUUGUUUUCCUCUUGAGAUGUACAAUCUUUGCUUUAUCUGUUGUUCUGUAUUCCUAUGAUGAUGUGUAGGGAUGAGUGUGUGCAAGGGGACUUGGUAAACCCUUUAAGUCUAGAAGGCAGGUCCUUAAUUUCUGGGAAAACAUUUUAAAAAAUGUUCUCACAUUUUUAACACUUUCUUCUUCUCUGGCUUCACUUUCUGGAUAAUACAGUCGACCUUUGAACAGCAUGGGUUUGAACAGCAUGGGUCCAUUUAUAUGCAGAUCUUUUUCAGUAACUGCUGUACAGAACUAUAAAUAUACUUUCCUUAUGAUUUUCUUCAUACCAUUUUCUUUUCUCUAGCUUAGUUUAUUGUAAGAAUACAGUAUAUAAUACAAAAUAACAUACAAAAUUUGUGUUAAUUGACUAUUUAUGUCAUCAAUAAGUCUUCCAGUCAACAGUAGGCUAUUAGUAGUUAAGUUUUGGGGGAGUCAAAAGUUAUACACAGAUUUUUGGCUGUGUGGUUGGGGGGGUGCCCCUAAUCCCGUGCUCUUCAGAGCUUGAUUGGACACCCUUAAAAUUAAGGGAGGGAAUGACAGUGCCCUAACCAGGCACUACUGUCAGUUAGCAGUUGCUAUUAUAUCACAAAUGCUUGUUUCUUUCACAAGUUGAUUGAAAUACAAAACCUGGCAAACUAAUUAAUGUGAUGCUUUUGAAAUUGAGGUACCGGGUUGUUUCUGCACAUUCCUAGGUCCAUAUGUGUCCAUAACAUUUCUUUCUAAUAGCAUGCUUUCAUUUUGGUAGUCCUCUAAACAUUUGAAUAUGAGCAUGCUUUCGAUUAUCUGCAUGAUCAUUUGAGAGUGGAGUAUUCUGGAUUUAGGAUCAUGCUGAUAUGAAGCAGUACAGGUCGCAUUGUGGCAGGGUAGUGAAAUAGGACAGAAAUAGAUCUUAUAUAGUGAUUCAUGAACUCUGUGGACUGGCCAAAUAGCCAGUUUUAGGUCAGUUUGAAUGGAGAGCAGUGGUGGGGACACUGGGGAGAAGAGACUUCGGCAAGUCAAACCCAUGCAUUGGUGUAGAUGGGUACACUGAACUCAACAGAAAGGGCAAAACACAGUAUCGUUUUCAAGUUGAAAUGGAAGUUUUGUUUCAGCAAAGCAGUGUCACAGGUAAUGAGAAGAUGACUGCAUAGAACCCUUAAGUCUGUUCUCAGGAAGUGAAAACUCCGUGCCCUAAGCAUUCACACAACCACACCCUAAUCCUUAGUGACACUCGUUCACCAUAAUUAAACUCCUCCUCCCUCACUGAUGGGUGGGACACUCUUUUUUGUUAUUAUUUUAGAGAGAGCCUGAGAGCAAGCUGAGGAGAGGGGCAGUGGAGAGAGAGAGAAUCUCAAGCAGGCUCCACACUCAGCAUGGAGCAUGACCCUGUGACGCUGGGAUGGUGACCUGAGCUGAAUCAAGAGUUGGACACUCAACUGACUGAGCCACCCAGGCACCCCGGCGCUCUUUAAUAUUGUCUUGUGACAAUAUUGUUACUACAGGGUAUGGCAGAAAGAGCUUGCUAAGGAAAAGAGGCCUAUGGACCACAGCCUUAUUUCUUGCAUGAACUGUCUGUGGGACCCACAGUGAGCCACACAAAUGACAUCUCUUUCCCUCUCCUCCGCUGGAAAACAUGAGGAGUAGAGUCAGCAGUCUAUGUGCUUUCUAGCUCUGACAGUUCAUGAUGCUAUCUCUGUUCUCCUGGGAUGAAUUAACAGAAGCAAAUGCAUUGUUUUCACUCCACAUCUUCUUGAAACCAUGAAAACCUGUUGGGAAUGUUGCCGGGAGAGUGGGAGGGGACUCAGGGGAAGUGCAGGUGGUUGUUGCUGAAGUCUAUGGCUGAUCACUGAAUGUGGACAUUCCAACUCCCAGUGAAGGCUAAGAAGGCCUCCUCACAAUUAGUUCCCAGCAAACUUUUCUUUUUUUUUUUUAAUUUUUUUUUCAACGUUUAUUUAUUUUUGGGACAGAGAGAGACAGAGCAUGAACGGGGCAGGGGCAGAGAGAGAGGGAGACACAGAAUCGGAAGCAGGCUCCAGGCUCUGAGCUAUCAGCUCAGAGCCUGACGCGGGGCUCGAACCCACGGACCGCGAGAUCGUGACCUGGCUGAAGUCGGACGCUUAACCGACUGCGCCACCCAGGCGCCCCCCCAGCAAACUUUUCAAUGUGAAAUAUUACCACAUCUAACGAUACGGACUACAGGAUCUCAACCUGUAGGAACUCUGGCUGUGCCUGGACUCCCCAGCCCUCCUGGACAAGCAGAAGUCUGAGAUGGAGGGCCUGGAGUUCAGCCAGAAAGUGAGCUUGGGGUAUAUCUUUCCUGGGGUCUCCAAAGUUCUGAGCCAAGGCAAUCAGAAAAACCACAUCAAGGAGUUGGGGCUUGGGAACCACACAUAAUACAAAUAUUAGUUGAAGAGGUGUGAAAAAUGAGGUAUGGGUUAAGAAGGGCAGAAUGUGAGACUGAGAAUAGUGUCUCUGAAUCAUGACUGGAAACUUCUCAUCAGGCGCUUUUGGCCACACUGAUGGGGAAGGCCUCUGUAUCCCCUGCCUCAACCCCGUGACACACUUCCUCAUCUCUCACCUUCACUGUGCUUGCCUAACAUCAUGCCUCACUGCUCGUGGUGGUGGCCUCCCACAAUAUACUCUUCAUAAUGCAGCCAGAGGAAUUAUUCUAAAGUGUAGCUAGAAAUGGCUACACGUCUCCCCACUUAAGAUCCUUUCGUGAUUCCCUAUAACCCAUGAGACAAAGAGGAAAGUCAGUGUGAUGAUUAAGUUUAUGUGUCACCUAUGGCUGUGCCAUAGUACUGAAAUAUUUGGUCAAUACCAGUCUGAGUAUUGCUGUGAAGGUAUUUUUAAAUAUGAAAUUAACAUUUAAAUCAGCAGACUUUGAGUAAGGUAGAUUACAGUAAUAUGGGUGGGCCUUAUCCAGUCAGUUUCCCUUGAGAGAAAAUGACUGAGGUUACCUGAGGAAGAGGGAAUUCUGCCUUCCAACUUGAGCUGCAGCAUCAACUCUUCCCUGCCCUAGAGAUUUUGGAACUGCCAGCCUCCAUAAUUGCAUGGGGAAAGAUUGAGAGAACUCUCCCUCAAUGGUCCAUGGUCCUCAACCUUUGCCCCACUCUAGAAUCCAUCCCACUGCCUGGAUUUCCACUCAAGUGAUCCUCCCUUAAUUGAUUUGGGGUUCAGAAUGGCCACAGGAGUUUUUUGAAAUAGGAGAGGCAAAUGCUACUUGGAGGUAUCUGGGAAAGCUUCCUGGAGGAGGCAGUGUUUGAACUGAAUUGUGACAGAGCAACUAGGGUGCCAGGCACCCUGUGUGUACAUGUAGAGGAAUAUGCAUGUAGGAUAUGGAGGGAUGACAAAAAGUUUACCACAGCUGGAAAGGAAAGAAGACAGAGUCAAGAUCUUAAGAGGCUUAUGCUCUUUGAUUGACAAUUUGGACUUGAUCUUUGAGAUAAGAGGGUGUUAUGAAGGAUGAUCAGAUUUGGAAUGAUUAUUUGGGAUCCAGUGUGGAGAGCAGGUUGGCAUGGAUCAGGUGAAGGAGAGAAAGGAGGAGAGCCUCAUCCAAGCAGUGGAGGUGACGAGGAGAGGGUGGAUGGGAGGGAUGCUAGGAUGAUAGAAGUGACAGGGCCUUUGAUCAUUUAGCUGUGGGGUGAGGCAGAGGGCUCCCUCCAGGUUUCUGAGAGAUGUCUAGUAGUACAGAGACUGGAAAAGCCUGCAUACAGCUCAAGAUAUAGGCUAGAGAUUUGGACAUAAUCAGUAAGAGUCAAAACUUGAACCUGUACAUAUAGCUGAAGUCAUCCAAGAAGAGCAUAUUACAGAAUGAAAGGAAGAGAGCUUAGAAUGGAAUAAUGGAACAUUUCAGGUUGAAGUGAAGGAAUCUGGAGAGAAAGGAAAGGGACUAGGAGAGUCCUCUGGAGAUCCCAGCAAGGCAGCAACAGCAAAAGAGCAGAACAUUGCCAACAUAAAAUGAAAUAAGAGCCAGGGUAUGGUUUUUUUUUUUUUUUUUGGUUGUGACAAUUAGAAGGUCAUUGGUGACCUAUGGGGGCAGUUUUGGGGAAUUUUGGGGUGAAAGUCAAACUUCAGUGGGUGAGGAAUAAAUCAGAAGAUCAGAAAAAGGCAACAGUUAAUGUAAACUUUAAAACCUUUUUAUUUAUUUAUUAUUGUUUAAAAACAUAAUUUAUUGUUAGGUUAGCUAACAUACGGUGUAUACAGUGUGCUCUUGGUUUUUGGGGUAGAUUCCCAUGAUUCAUCACUUACAUACAACACCCAGUGCUCAUGCAACAGGUGCUCAUCACCUUUUUUCCCCUUCCCACCCUCUGCAUCAACCCUCAGUUUGUUCUCUGUAUUUAAGAGUCGAUUACGGUUUACCUCCCUCUCUGUUUGAAACUAUUUUUCCCUCUCCCUUUCCCCAUGGUCUUCUGUUAAGUUUCUCAAGUUCCACGUAUGAGUGAAAACAUAUGAUAUGUUUUCUUUCUCUGACUGACUUGUUUCACUUAGCAUAAUACCCUCCAGUUCCAUCCACUUGUUGCAAAUGGCAGGAUUUCAUUCUUUCUCAUUGCCAAAUAGUAUUACAUUGUAUAUAUUAACCACAUCUUCUUUAUCCAUUUAUCAGUUGAUGGACAUUUGGGCUGUUUAUAUAAUUUGGCUAUUGUUGAAAGUGCUGCUGUAAACAUUGGGGUACAUGUGUCUUUAUGAAUCAGCACUCCUGUAUCCUUUGGGUAAAUUUCUAGUAGUGCUAUUGCUGGGUCAUUUUUUGAGGAACCUCCAGCUAAUCUUUGACAAAGCAGGAAAGAGUAUUCAAUGGAAAAACAAUCUCUUUAGCAAAUGGUGCUGGGAGAACUGGAUAGCAGCAUGCAGAAGAAUGUAACUGGACCACUUUCUUAAACCAUACACAAAAAAUAACUCAAAAUGGAUGAAAGACCUAAUGUGAGACAGGAAACCAUCAAAACCCUAGAGAAGAAAACAGGCAACAACCUCUUUGACCUCAGCUACAGCAAUUUCUUCCUUGACACACCUCCUAAGGCAAGGGAAAUAAAAGCAAAAAUGAACUAUUGGGACCUCAUCAAAAUAAAAAGCUUCUGCACUGCAAAGGAAACAAUCAACAAAACUAAGAACCUGCGGAAUGGGAGAAGCUAUUUGCAAAUGACAUCAGAUAAAGGUUAGUAUCCAAAAUCUAUAAAGACCUUACCAAACUCUACACCUGAAAAACAAAUAAUCCAGUGAAGAAAUGGGCAGAAGACAUGAAUAGAUACUUUUCCAAAGAAGACAUCCAGAUGGCCAACAGACACAUGAAAAGAUGCUCAACAUCACUCAUCAUCAGGGAAAUACAAAUUAAAACCACAUUGAGAUACCACCUCACACCAGUCAGAAUGGCUAAAAUGAACAACUCAGGAAACAACAGAUGUUGGUGAGGAUGUGGGGAAAUGGGGACCUUCUUGCACUGUUGGUGGGAAUGCAAACUGGUACAGCUGCAAUGUAUACUUUUUAAAGAAACUUAACUGUCAGUGGAAGAAUGAGAAAUAGAAUGGUAGCUACAGGCAUGAGAAGUAAGAGAAGUGUGGUUAAUUGGUUUUUAACAUAGGAGGGACUGGGCAUAUUUAUGAGAUGUGAAUAACAUGACUCCAAAGGACUACAAGAGAUUAAAGAUAGAGGAGAGAAGGCAAUUAAUGGAACCAUGUCCUGGGGAACGAGGAGGGGGUCUGCUUUCCUUGAAACAGAAGGGGUAGAGACAUGGUAGGUCAGAUAAGGAGAGUUGGCCACUCCUCCAAGAGCUGGAAUAAAGAGGCACCUGUCACCAGGCCAGGUGCUGGGACCUCAUUCAGUCAGGAGCCCCUGGCUAAAACCCUCCCCCGGAGCGCCAGGUGAGCAGGGGGAGAGGUGGGGGAGGGAGAACCCACGCAGGCAACCCGAGGAAGAGAUAGGAGGGUGACAACAGGACAUAGGGAAAGAGGAGAGUGGGACGGGUGCGGAGGCCAGGGCUCCUCAUGCGUGCCCACUGUGUCGUGGGGGUGUGCUGGGGGUCAUCACGCAUGCCCUGCUGCCUUGUGGGGAUGGGGGCAUCACAUGGGGCCCCCAAGGCCAGGCGCUAGAGUUGCAGUUUCUUAGCCUUGGAACAGAAGUCCUGUGGGCCGGUGGUUCAGAAGUGGGAGCAGGGGUGUCUUUCCUCAGGCUCGUGGGCGGUGGGGGGCCAGUGGUGACAUUGCUUUGGAUUUGGUGGCCUGGAGUUGCCAUGGCCUCCCUGGGGUCAGUCCCUGCCACCCAUCUGCCUGGUCCCUCUGCUAGGGACUUACUGGCAACCUCAUGUUCUGCUUUUUCUCUGAUUAAACAGAAGUAAACAAUUUGAGCUUCUCGCCUUCAUCCACCACUUCCCCUCAACUUGGAAAAAAUGCUUCUUCACUUGGCUGCCCUUUGUGGUAUGUCGCAGGAGCUCCCUUAACCCACUUCCUCACCCCAGAUACUCCUCGGCCCCCACCGCUGGGCCCACCCACUCCAGAAACACCUGCCCCCCAGCCACCUCUCCUGCCUCAUGCCCUCCCUGCCUCCUCAUACAAACCUCCCAGAUCAACCAUUUCCCACAGAGGCGUCACAGGUACCUCCUCUUCCUUCUUCUUAGUACCUUCAAAUAUUGGAAAGUACCCAGAACUAGUUGAAUUUAUUUCCUUGUGUCUUCACUAUACAUCCUUAGUAAUUUGAUCCAUUCACAUGGAACUGCCUGGAAUAGGGAUGCUUAUGGCUCCUUAUGUCUCACUCUAGAAUUAACUGCUAAUUCUGAGGCUCCUGCCUGUUUUCACGACAUCCUUGGUGUCCUUGGUGACACAUUCAUUUGGGAGGUCCCACUAACCUCAGAAGGAACGUAUCAUCUUCCCUGUUCUGAGGCGGCUUCCUUGUGAAACUGGCCCUGCGGCCCUUGGCAGACCCUAAGUAUAAAUUUAGCUACAAACUAGAAUAGUCCUUGACUUCUCCUCCUCCUCCCUAAGCCUAUGUGGCCAGUCACCUGGCCUGGCACUUUUCUCUCCUACUUCUCCACCAAAAUUCUUUCCUCUGCAUUCCAGCCAUUGCUAGUCUGUUGUAGUGGCCUACCCACAGGCUCCCCAGGGGCUUUCGCCAGUGGAUGAUGGGCCACAUUAUUUUGCUAAAAUUCCAAACUACUCCUGUACAACAUUUGUUUAAAACUAUGCAUGACUUUCUAAACCAUAGAUCAAGUUUAGACUCCACAACCUGCCACGAGGGGCCUCCCCCUGUGUCUCCACCCACAUCUCUGACAGGGCACCCUGCAGAGCCACUCACAUAGGCCCUGCGUGGACUUGGUCUUCCCGCUGUUGUUACAGAGCUCAUGGCUAACUGGCCAGCAGUGCAUUCAUGUAUCUCCUCUCCCCUGGGGCCCGAAAUCCAGGUGAGGACUUCGAGCACCUAGUUUGCAUUUUUCAUCCCCCAAAACAUGUAAGGAAAGGUCUGCAUAUUUGCUGUUUGAAUAAACUCACUUACGGCAGUUUGUAGAGAAGCGGGGAAUUCACAGGCAUACAAGGGUCCCAGGAAGCUCCUACAUACUGGAGAGAAGAAGCCUUGCUUUUGAGAUGUGGCAUUCUUUCUGUGAGACCUGAGGACAGUAAUUUCAUUGUCACAGGUCUUAUUUGUUCAUCUGUAAAAGGAAAACUAGUUUGAUGCUAAUUCAUUUUAAUGGCUAGAAGUCAAACCUUUCCACAGUUCAGUAUUUAUGACACUGUAGCACUGUGGCCCUGGCAUUCAUAGGUAUUAUUUGUGUUAGUCAUAUUGAACUGAAUUCCUAUUUAGACUUUUUGGGGGAGGUCCACAUUGUUUGAAGUUCCAGCCCUCUCAAAAACUUUACUGUGAGAGUGGACUGGACCACCAAGAAGAAGUGGGAGAAGGAGUUAUUUUGUUACCUCCCUCCCACCCUACUGACACUGGUGUGAGCUGAGACACACCCCAGAGGCACACUGUGUGUGAAUGUGUGUGCAUGCCUGUGUAUCACGGCUAUGGAAUAGAUAAUGAUGGGAGAUAUCAUGACACUGACCAGCGCCUGGAUGCUGAAAAGGAUUGGAAAUGAGGAAUGGAGAUGAAAGAAGAGAAAAGACAGGAGAAACUAGAAGUAGGCAAAAACAAGGCAUUAAAAGUAGUUAACAUCUAAAAGUGAGGUUGAUGGGAUAUUUGAGUUCAUUUUCACCAAUUCGGACAGGACAGUGAAACACACACACAGACACACGCUCACCAGCCUAGGUUUAUGCCUGCCUCAUCUAGAUAGCAAAACUCUCAAGCUCAAAUAAGGUCAAAUUCAAAUUUUAUUUGUGUCUCUGCUCUUUGCUUCACCUAGUUCUCUCCUUCUUUGGUCCUCUCUAGUUGGUGGACCCAGUGCUUUGAAGUUUGAAUAGCUCUUUCUGGCUCUCAGCUCUUUCUUUAUUUCCUGAAAUGUCUUUAGGUGUGAGGUGAGGUCGUGUGGACUGGAAGAGGCCUGGAAGAGGCUGGCCUCUGCUCCGCCGAGGGCUUGCCCAUGGCCAACACACCAGCCUUCUAGAAACUACAGCCUUCAAGUAUAAUCAGUGCAGCUGAAGGAUCCCGAGGGGCUUUGUGAUUUGAGGACAGUUGAGGAACUUUAACAUUUAACAUGAUCUAUGUCACUAUUAUGCUUUCUUGGUUGACAUUUUCACACAUCCUUUGAGACUUAAAACAACUUAUAUUGGUUUUGGCUGUUCUUUAUUUAGAGAAUGGCCUUUGCACAUUUUUUUUUUAAUGUUAGACACUCCCUCUUAAACUAUUUUUGGAGGAAGCUUACCACAAAACAUCCAACUGUAGAGAUGCUCAUAUUGAAACAGAGAUCCCUUAGUCUCUCUCAUCCACCCAGCUCUGCUUUCCUCCCACUGUGCCCUAAUAAACUCAAAGGACUGUUCUUAAGGCUUAAUGGAGCACAGUUUCAAAACUGCAUCACUUUGUAGCCCCCCCUGGGAAACAGGAAGAUGAAAGAUCAGAUGAUGACCCAUCUGUGAAAAUGAGUCUGUAACAGUAUGGUGAUUCCCCAAAAAUUAAUCAUAGAGGUACCAUAUGAUCCAGCAAUUUCACUUCUGGGUGUUUACCCAGGAGAAUUAAUAGCAGGAAGCAGAUAUUUAUAUAUCAUUGUUCAUAGCAGCACUAUUCAUAAUAGCCAAAAGGUGGACACAACCCAAGUGUUCAUAGAUGGUUGAAUGGAUAAACCAAAGGUGCUGUAUACAUACAAGGGGAUAUUAUUCAGUCUCUAAAAAAGAAGUAAAUUCUGACACAUGCUGAAAUAUGGAUGAACCUUGAGGACAUUAUGCUCAGUGAAAUAAGCCAGUCACAAAAGGACAAAUAUAUGAUUCUCCUUUUGUGAGUUAUCUAGAAUAGUCAAAUUCAGAGACAGAAAGUAGAAUGGUGGCUGUCAGGGGCAAGGGUGGGAAUGGGAAGUUAAUUUUUAACGGGUUUUCAGUUUCAGUUUUGCAAAAUGAAAAGAGCUCUAUGGACGGAUGGUAGCACAACAGUGUGAAUGUACUUAAUGUGACAGUGCCUUAAACUGAACAUUUAAAAAUGGUUACGGCAGUAAGUUUUGUUAUGUGUAUUUUACCAUAAUUAAAAAAGAAUUAAAAACCUCAAAUCUGUGCAUGAUGAACCUUAUAUCUGGAUAGAGUUUUCAGUAACCUUGUUUUGCUUAGUUUUGAAUUUCUUAAAGUAGACACUAUCUUUCAUAUAUAUAUAUAUAUAUAUAUAUAUAUGUUUAUUUUUGAGAGACAGAAAGAGAGAGAGAGGGUGUGCAUGAGAAGAGGAGGGGCACAGAGAGAGCAAGACACAGAAUCCAAAGCGGGCUCCAGGCUCUGAGCUGUCAGCACAGAGCCUGAUGCGGGGCUUGAACCCACGAACAGUGAGAUCAUGACCUGAGCUGAAGUUGGAUGCUUAACCGACUGAGCCACCCAGGCACCCCUGGACACUGUCUUUCUUAUGUGGCUUUAAAAUUUUUUGAGCUAAGAACCAACAGUCCUAAUAUUUAUAUGGAACCAGAAAAGACCCCAAGUAGCCAAAGAAAUGUUGAAAAAGAAAACCAAAGCUGGAGGCAUCAGAAUUCCGGACUUUAAGCUGUAUUACAAGGCUGUAAUCAUCAAGACCAUAUGGUAUUGGCACAAAAACAGACACAUAAAUCAAUGGAAUAAAAUAGAGAACCCAGAAAUGGACCCACAAAUAUAUGGCCAACUAAUCUUUGACAAAGCAGGAAAGAGUAUUCAGUGGAAAAAAGACAGUCUCUUUGGCAAAUAAUGCUGGGAGAACUGGACAGCGACAUGCAGAAGAAUGAAACUGGACUAUUUUCUUACACCAUACACAAAAAUAAAUUUAAAACAUAAAGACCUAAAUUUGAGGCAGGAAACCAUCAAAAUCCUACAGGAGAAAAUAGGCAGCAACCUCUUUGACCUCAGCCACAGCAGCUUCUAAUUGGCAUAUCUCCAGAAGCAAGGGAAAUAAAAGCAAAAAUGAACUAUUGGGACCUCAUCAAGAUAAAAAAGCUGUACAGUAAAGGAAACAAUCAACAAAACUAAAAGGCAACCAACAGAAUGGGAGAAGGUAUUUGCAAAUGACAUAUCAGAUAAAGGCUUAGGAUCCAAAAUCUAUAAAGAACUUACCAAACUCAUAUUCAAAAAACAAAUACUCUGGUGAGAAAUGGGCAGAAAACCUAAAUAGACACUUUUCCAAAGAAGACAUCCAGAUGGCUAACAGACAUGAAAAGAUGCUCAACAUCACUCAUCCACAGGGAAAUACAAAUCAAAACCAUAAUGAGAUACCACCUCACACCUGUCAAAUGGCUAAAAUUAACAACAGAUGUUGGUGAGGAUGUGGAGAAAGGAGAACCCUCUUGCACUGUUGGUGGGAAUUCAAACUGGUACAGCCACUCUGGAAAACAGUGUGGAGGUUUCUCAAAAAAUUAAAAAUAGAACUACCCUAUGACCAAGCAAUAGCACUAGUAGGAAUUUAUCCAAAGGAUACAGGAGUUCUGUUUCAAAGGGGGCAUAUGCACCCUGUUGUUUACAGCAGUGGUAUCAACAAUAGCCAAGUAUGGGAAGAGCCCAAAUUUCCAUUGACUGAUGAAUGGAUAAAGAAGUUGUGGUAUUUAUAUACCUUGGCAAUGAAAAAGAAUGAAAUCUUGCCAUUUGCAACAAUGUGGAUGGAAAUAGAGGGUAUUAUGCUAAGUGAAAUAAGUCAGAGAAAGACAGAUAUGAUUUCACUCAUAUGUGGAAUUUGAGAAACACAACAGAUGAACAUAGGGGAAGGGAAGGAAAAAUAAGAUAAAAACAGAGAAGGAGGCAAACCAUAAGAGACUCUUAAAUACAGAGAACAAACUGAGGGUUGCUGGAGGGGUGGUGGAGGGGGAAGGGGUAAUAAAUGGGUGAUGGGCAUUGAGGAGGGUACUUUUUGGGAUGAGCACUGGGUGAUAUACAGUAUGUUAACUAACUUGAAUUUAAAUAAAAAAAUAAACAUAAAUAAAUAAAAUUCCAACUCUGCCUUCAAAAUGAAAUAAAAUGAAAUAAAGCUUUUCAGGUAAAAAUAUACAUGCCUGUAAAAAACAAAUAAAAUAAUAGAGAAAAGCAGAUUGCAGAGCUGUGGUACUGUAGAUGAUUUGUCCCUUUAUUCCCCAAAAUGUUUUCAAUUAUAAUGGCAAAGCAACUCAGGGAGGCAUGGAUGAGCUUCAAUAUUAUAUUGAAUAGUAGUCCAGUUAAAAAUCAACACUUCUUGGGGCGCCUGGGUGGCGCAGUCGGUUAAGCGUCUGACUUCAGCCAGGUCAUGAUCUCGCGGUCCGUGAGUUCGAGCCCCGCGUCAGGCUCUGGGGUGAUGGCUCAGAGCCUGGAGCCUGUUUCCGAUUCUGUGUCUCCCUCUCUCUCUGCCCCUCCCCCGUUCAUGCUCUGUCUCUCGCUGUCCCAAAAAUAAAUAAACGUUGAAAAAAAAAUUAAAAAAAAAAAUCAACACUUCUUGUUAAAUAAGGUUUGUUGAGACCUUAUAAUAAUUUGCUAAACUUCUUUUAACGAAUAGUAAACUGUAAUAACUUUUUUUAAGUUUAUUUAUUUUGAAAGGGAGAAAGAGAGAAUGGGGGAGGGGCAGAGAGAGAGAGAGAGAGAGAGAGAGAGAGACGCAGAGCAUCUUAAGUGGGCUCUGUGCUGACAGCAGAGAUCCCAGUGGGGGACUCACUCGUGAACUGUGAGAUCAUGACCUGAACUGAAGUUGGACACUUUUAACCGACUGAGGCACCAGGCCCUUCUCUUGGAGGGCACCUUUUCAUACUUUCCAUGUGCAUGAUGGAUGAAUCCUGCUACUCCUUCUGUGGGAGUGUGUGUCAUACAGCUGCCAUGAGACGUAGCAGCUGGGCCCACAUGAACAUCUCAGUAACAAAAGCAGACAAAAGCAUCGGUAUAUUAGAGCAAAAUUGCAUCUUUGAUAAGUAAAAUAAAACUAUAAUUCUUUCACAAAAAGGCAAAGGAUUUCAAUUUUAUUUUAAACUUUUGUGAAAAACCUAUUUAAAAUUGGAGAAUGCAGUUAUCUAAAUGAACUCGUAAGUGGGUAUUGUUAGUAUGUGGUUAUGUGUAGUGGAAGAAUGCCACCCAAAGUUGAACUUCCAUCUUCUGGAGUUAUUUAGAGGGGAUAUAGAAUCUGCUCCAAAGAGGGUUAUGUGUGACCUUCUGUACAAAUGAGGUAAUGGGUCAUGCUUUAGGGGAAUAGUUCUUAGCCUCUUUGUGUUUUAGGUUUCUUUGAUGAUCUCAUGAAUGUGUCCCAGAGCAUUUCCAUUUGCAUAACCCUUUACACAUAAUAUCAGGAGUAUUUGAACACCACCCCUGCAGCGCAACUGUGGAGCCCAGUUGUAGUUUCCCUGAGGUUCUGUUCUCCAGUUUACUGAAGGAUGGAGGCUUUGGGUUGGGGGUAGGAGACAUGGGAAAAACCUAUAUUCUCAUUCUGACUUGACAUUUAAAUUCCAAUCUGGUCUGUAAAAUUUGUAGUGAAACAUUUUCAUUUUUAUUUCUGCUUUUUCUCUUGUUCCCUGAGGCCAUGUUAGAUUCAAUCCCAAAGACUUUUUUUCUUUUUUUUCUGCGUCCUGUUAUCAUGCCUUUUGGAUAUGAAUAAUUCCGCUCCACUGGUUUUCAGUGGGAGGAAACUGUGUCCCCUUGGGAGAUAUGUGACAAUACCUGGAGACACUUUGGAUUGUCAUAAUUGAGAAACUGCUACUGGCAUCUAGUGGAUAGAGGUCAUGGAUAUUGCUGCACAUCCUAAAACACAGAGAGAGCCCCCACAAUGAAGGACCAAUCAUAUGACCCCAAAUGUCAGUAAUGCUGUAGUUGAGAAAGCCUGUGCUAGACAAUUAAAUUCCUUUUCAAAAAGGAACCCACUUGAUCUUUGGUACAGAGAUUUGUUUGGAGGUCACUCUUUGGGGAAUUAGAAUGCAGUGUUCAAAGCAGUUGGUGGUGUUUUCUGUUAACAGACACUUUUGUUUAAACAAAGAUGGACAUAUUCACCAAGGUUUCCACUCACUUCUCAAUGAAGCUAAUGAACAUGGCACACAGUGUUUUCUCAGAACUACCGACAGCCUUUGGAGAAAAAGUGUGUAAAGGAAAAUAACAGAGAAACUACAGAAGAGCAGAGAAUGAUGAACAGAUAUUCCUUGACUUGCAGUGGAGUUAUGUCCCAAUAAACCCAUCAUAAAGUGAAAAUAUCCCAAAGUGAAAGUGCAUUUAAUAUACCUAACCUAUCAAGUGUUAUAUCUUAGUCUAGCCUACCUUAAAGGUGCUCCAAAUACGCUGUGCUUAGUCCACAAUUGUGCAAAUCCUCUAACACAAAGCCUAUUUUAGUGUUAAUGAUCUCAUGAAAUUUAUUAAAUACUGUACUAGAAGUGAAAACCAGAAUGGUUGUGUGGGCACAGAGUAGUUGUAAGCAUACUGGUUGUUGACCCUGGUGACCGUGUGGCUGCCUGGGAGCUGCGGCUGCUGCCAAGUGUCAUGAGAGAGGAUAGUCCCGCAUAUUGCUAGCCUGGGAGAAGUUCAAAAUUCCCAAUAUGGUUUCUACUGAAUGCGUGUCACUUCUGCGCCAACGUAAAAUAAAAUCAUAAGCCAACCCGUCGUAAGUUGGGGGCUGUCUGUAUAACUCCACUGCCUUAAAAUUGUGCUUAGAAAUACACUUUUAUAAUUUUGAAUUUUAAUACUAUUUCUGAAUUUUGUCUUUCUUUUUUAUUGUUUUCUGACACAUCUCCCUCUGGUGUCACUCUCAGUAUGUCCAUCCUCCUGCACCNAUAAUAUCAGGAGUAUUUGAACACCACCCCUGCAGCGCAACUGUGGAGCCCAGUUGUAGUUUCCCUGAGGUUCUGUUCUCCAGUUUACUGAAGGAUGGAGGCUUUGGGUUGGGGGUAGGAGACAUGGGAAAAACCUAUAUUCUCAUUCUGACUUGACAUUUAAAUUCCAAUCUGGUCUGUAAAAUUUGUAGUGAAACAUUUUCAUUUUUAUUUCUGCUUUUUCUCUUGUUCCCUGAGGCCAUGUUAGAUUCAAUCCCAAAGACUUUUUUUCUUUUUUUUCUGCGUCCUGUUAUCAUGCCUUUUGGAUAUGAAUAAUUCCGCUCCACUGGUUUUCAGUGGGAGGAAACUGUGUCCCCUUGGGAGAUAUGUGACAAUACCUGGAGACACUUUGGAUUGUCAUAAUUGAGAAACUGCUACUGGCAUCUAGUGGAUAGAGGUCAUGGAUAUUGCUGCACAUCCUAAAACACAGAGAGAGCCCCCACAAUGAAGGACCAAUCAUAUGACCCCAAAUGUCAGUAAUGCUGUAGUUGAGAAAGCCUGUGCUAGACAAUUAAAUUCCUUUUCAAAAAGGAACCCACUUGAUCUUUGGUACAGAGAUUUGUUUGGAGGUCACUCUUUGGGGAAUUAGAAUGCAGUGUUCAAAGCAGUUGGUGGUGUUUUCUGUUAACAGACACUUUUGUUUAAACAAAGAUGGACAUAUUCACCAAGGUUUCCACUCACUUCUCAAUGAAGCUAAUGAACAUGGCACACAGUGUUUUCUCAGAACUACCGACAGCCUUUGGAGAAAAAGUGUGUAAAGGAAAAUAACAGAGAAACUACAGAAGAGCAGAGAAUGAUGAACAGAUAUUCCUUGACUUGCAGUGGAGUUAUGUCCCAAUAAACCCAUCAUAAAGUGAAAAUAUCCCAAAGUGAAAGUGCAUUUAAUAUACCUAACCUAUCAAGUGUUAUAUCUUAGUCUAGCCUACCUUAAAGGUGCUCCAAAUACGCUGUGCUUAGUCCACAAUUGUGCAAAUCCUCUAACACAAAGCCUAUUUUAGUGUUAAUGAUCUCAUGAAAUUUAUUAAAUACUGUACUAGAAGUGAAAACCAGAAUGGUUGUGUGGGCACAGAGUAGUUGUAAGCAUACUGGUUGUUGACCCUGGUGACCGUGUGGCUGCCUGGGAGCUGCGGCUGCUGCCAAGUGUCAUGAGAGAGGAUAGUCCCGCAUAUUGCUAGCCUGGGAGAAGUUCAAAAUUCCCAAUAUGGUUUCUACUGAAUGCGUGUCACUUCUGCGCCAACGUAAAAUAAAAUCAUAAGCCAACCCGUCGUAAGUUGGGGGCUGUCUGUAUAACUCCACUGCCUUAAAAUUGUGCUUAGAAAUACACUUUUAUAAUUUUGAAUUUUAAUACUAUUUCUGAAUUUUGUCUUUCUUUUUUAUUGUUUUCUGACACAUCUCCCUCUGGUGUCACUCUCAGUAUGUCCAUCCUCCUGCACCCAUACCUGCUUCUCCCCCUUUCCUCCCGAUCCCCCACCCUGCUGUAGAAGUCAGAAGCUCAGCCAUCCGGAGUCCUCCCUGGUCUUAACCUCUGGUGGGUGAACUGUUUCCCCUGAAAGAUCUCUUUAAUUUGCCCCCUCUCCUGAGUCACACUGCUGCUGCCUGAGUUCAGAGUCUCACUGUAUCUUCUACACUAUUAUUUUAAUUGCUACUUGACUGGUCCUCCAAGCACAGCCUGGUCCUUUCCUCUGUCUCACAAAUCUGCACUACUGGCAAAAAUAGUCUUUCUAAACAAAAAUCUUAUUGUGAAACUGAGACCUUUGAAUCGGGCUGGCUUCUUUUUUUUUUUAAUUUUUUUUUUCAACGCUUAUUUAUUUUUGGGACAGAGAGAGACAGAGCAUGAACGGGGGAGGGGCAGAGAGAGAGGGAGACACAGAAUUAGAAAUAGGCUCCAGGCUCUGAGCCAUCAGCCCAGAGCCCGACGCGGGGCUCGAACUCCCGGACCGCGAGAUGGUGACCUGGCUGAAGUAGGACGCUUAACCGACUGUGCCACCCAGGCGCCCCAUGAAUCGGGCUGGCUUCUAUAAAAUUUCUUAGUCCAUAAAAACCCUUCUUUAAUGCAGUAAGUGAAGCAAAAAAACAAAAAAAUAAAACUACCAUAUAAUAUACAGGGUGAUGUGAUUAUGAGAUUAAUGAAUUGAUGGAAUGAUCCUGGCCACCUGACUGGUUGGUAGUACCCAGAGUUGUUCUGUAAGUCACAAAUACAUCCUUGCCCUGGUGGUGCCAUGCCAUGGAGGUUGCCUGCUCUGGGGUUAAGUCUCCUUGGCGAUAAUCCUGUGUCCUUUGGCUGGCUGGGUCUUCCAGGAUUAGCUGUGGUGAUUCCAGGAAAUGUCUGGUUAAUGUUCAUUUUUGAACAUCAGCCUGAUCGUUCAAUAUUGGAGAAUAUUAGGGGCACAGGGAAUUACCUGCCACUUUUCUUGAUUGCUUGGCUUCUCUUUCACCGUACUUCCUCUUUCUUCUAUAAAAGCUGAAAUAUUUGAAAACACGUGAUGAGUGGGAAGAUGGGAGCCAAUUGCCAAGCUCUUUAUAUCUGAAAACAAAUAAUUAUGGGGAGUUCUCUGUAGAUUUUAUAGGUCUUUCCUCAUUUGGCCUCAGAAUUAAUUUUCAAUUAUCAUUCCCUGCCAUUGCAUUCUCCCUAACCCCUAUCCUGAAAACACACACACACACACACACAGACACACACACACACACACAUCCAGACCUAUUCCAGUCCAUUCCCAGAAGACCUUUCUUACUCUCUGUUCUCUUAAGUUACCAUGACGAUCCAGAUUUAAAAUGCUUUUUCCCUUUUUGUCCAGUUGGAGACCUAUAUUUUUAAAUGAUCACAUCCCACUAUGAAGCCUUUGAGUCAUUCCACAAAUAUAUUUCAGACACUGUGGUGGUUGAUGCUGUUGACAGAAAAUGAGUGUAGGAAAGUGAGGCCAUCAUAAGGCCUACAGUCUGGUGUGGGGGACAGAAGUUAAUGGAGUCCAUAUGGAGUAUAAGUGUGGGACAGGGAAAUUCUUGGCAUUGGGGGAUCAUAGCUGCCACCAUCCAUUUUCUCAUAACACCCUGAACGUACCUCUCUGUACUUUCGGCCUCUGUCAUCAGGCUCUGAGUCACCUCAAGUCAGAUACUGUGUCUUGAACUUGAUGCCAAGCACCUAGCACGGUGACAGACAGAUAGUAGAUGGUUAUACUUUUUUGUUAAUUGAGUUAAUGAAUCUUGAAAUGCAGCAUAACCUAUGCAAUUAUUUAUGGUAUAAACAUGGUAAGAGGGGAAAAAAGUGUUUUCAAAGUUGUGGAAACUUUUACAGAAUAGAGCCCCACUCAGUAUUUGUGCUCCUUGUAAGGAAUCCUCUCAGAGCUCCCUGAGGCAGAUCUAGAGAGGCUGUCCUGUGCUAAGGAUACAGAAGAGUCACAGAAAAGACAAGUAGCUAGGUCACACAGUGAUGGUGUGAGAUGCUAGCUUGGGGGGUCUCUGAGUCAGGAAGGAAAGAGGGACUAUGCCUGGCUGGGGCAUAGUAUUUUCGGGUUUAGCCCUGUGACUCGGUUAUCAGAGGGCUGUUUGUGUGUGCUUGCUGGAUCCCCAGGCCAGCAACACAAUUCUGUUAUUUGUCUUGGGUCUGUAAGGUCAUGAAAUAGUGAUUUUCAAAAAAUACUUAAACCUCCUCCCUUCUGGACAGCGCUGGGAAAUCCCUGAAAAGUGCUUCCUUUUUGGGACCCUGUUUAUCUUUUAUCUGGGAGGACUCUUAAAGGUCAACCAGAUAUGGAAAUAUUUUUCAGAUACUGCAACUUUCUUAAAGUAAUAAGAUGGGAAAGAUUUUGAUGGACAAAAAUAAUUAAUUUCAAAACAUCUCAAUUCUUAAUCUUUUGCUGAAUGGAUUUCAUGUCCCCUGUGUAUCUUUUACUGGGGGGAAGAGAGAAAAAAACCUAAAAUCAUUUUCAUAUUCAAAGUUCUGUUUUUUCAUCCUUAGUCAAAUCCAUCUUCUGUCCUUGGCAGUGUGGUUUGGAUUGGAGGUAAGUUUCCUCUCAGCCCUGGAGCACGGAGACAGACAGCAUGUGUGUAUCAUGCUAUCAUGCUCUACAUUUACUCACUUUCUUGCAAUGUAGGUGACAAUGAUGCCUAUUUGCCUUUUUUUCUCCACCUAUAAAUGUACCAUCUUUAUUUAAUUCAGUAUGGAUAAAUGAUUGGUACUUUCUAAUUUUUAUCAGUGUGUGAAUCCCUGUGAUGGAUAUCUUUAUUUUUAUUUUAUUUUGUUUAUUUAUUUAUUUAUUUAUUUAUUUAUUUAUUUAUUUAUUUAUUUAUAAAUUUACAUCCAAGUUGGUUAGCAUAUAGUGCAAUAAUGAUUUCAAGAGUAGAUUCCAGUAGUUCAUUCCCUAUGUAUAACACCCAGUGCUCAACCCAACAAGUGGCUUCCUUAAUGCCCCUUACCCAUUUAGUGCAUACCCCCACCCACAACUCCUCCAGCAUCCCUCAGUUUGUUCUUUGUAUUUAAGAAUCUCUUAUGUUUUGUCCCCCUCCUUGUUUUUAUAUUACUUUUGCUUCUCUGCCCUUAAGUUCAUCUGUUUUGUAUCUUAAAUAUGAGUGAAGUCAUAUGAUAUUUGUCUUUCUCUAACUAAUUUCGCUUACCAUAAUACCCUCUAGUUCCAUCCACAUAGUUGCAAGUGGCAAGAUUUCAUUCUUUUUGAUUGCCGAGUAAUACUCCAUUGUGUGUGUGUGUGUGUGUGUGUAUACAUACAUAUCUCAUAUAUAUCUCAUAUAUACGUACAUACAUAUCUUACAUCUUCUUUAUCCAUUCAUCUGUCAAUGGACAUUUGGGCUCUUUCCUUACUUUGGCCAUUGUCUAUAGUGGUGCUAUAAACAUUGGGGUGCAUGUGCCCCUUUGAAACAGCAUACCUAUAUCCCUUGGAUAAAUACCUAGUAGUGCAAUUGCUGGGUCAUAGGGUAGUUCUAUUUUUAAUUUUUUGAGAAACCUCCACACUGUUUUCCAGAGUGGCUGUACCAGUUUGAAUUCCAGUUUUCCAGAGUGGCUGUACCACUAGUUUGCAUUUCCACCAGCAGUGCAAGAGAUCCUCUUUCUCUGCAUCCUCAUCAACAUCUGUUGUUGCUUGAGUUGUUAAUUUUAGCCAUUCUGAUCAGUGUGAAGUGGUAUCUCAUUGUGGUUUUGAUUUGUAUUUCCCUUAUGAUGAGUCAUGUUGAGCAUUUUUCAUGUGUCUGUUAGUCAUCUGGAUGUCUUUUUUUUUUAAUGCUUAUUUAUUUUUGAGAGAGAGAGAGAUGGAUAGAGCAUGAGCAGGGGAGGGGCAGAGAGAUAGGGAGACACAGAAUCUGAAGCAACCUCCAGGCUCUGAGCUGUCAGCACAGAACCUCAUGUGGGGCUCGAACCCACAAGCAGUGAGAUCAUGAUCUGAGCCAAAGUCAGACGCUUAACCAACUGAGCCACUCAGGUGUCCCACCUGUAUGUCUUCUUUGGAAAAGUGUCUAUUCCUGUCUUUUGCCCAUUUCUUCACUGCAUUAUUUGUUUUUUGGGUGUUGAGUUUGAUAAGUUCUUUAUAGAUUUUGGAUACUAACCCUUUAUCUGAUAUGUCAUUUGCAAAUAUCUUCUCCCUUUCCAUUGGUUGCCUUUUAGUUUUGCUGAUUGUUUCCUUUGCUGUGCAGAAGCUUUUUAUUUUGAUGAGGUCCCAAUAGUUAAUUUUUGCUUUUGUUUCCGUUGCCUCCAGAGAUGUUUUGAUUAAGAAGUUGCUGUGGCCCAGGUCAAAGAGGUUUUUGCCUGCUUUCUCCUCAAGGAUUUUGAUGGCUUCCUGUCUUAUGUUUAGGUCUUUCAUCCAUUUUGCAUUGAUUUUUGUGUAUAGUGUAAGAAGUGGUACAGUUUCAUUUUUCUGUAUGUUGCUGUCCAGUUUUUUCACCACCAUUUGCUGAAGAGACUGUCUUUAUUCCAUUGGAUAUUCUUUCCUGCUUUGUCAAACAUUAGUUGACCAUACAUUUGUGGUCCAUUUCUGGGUUCUCUAUUCUGUUCCAUUGAUCUGAGGGUCUAUUUUUGUGCCAGUACCAGACUGUCUUGAUGAUUACAGUUUUGUAAUACAUCUUGAAGUCUGGCAUUGUGAUGCCUCCAGCUUUGGUUUUCUUUUUCAGGAUUGCUUUGGCUAUUCGGGGUCUUUUCUGGUUCCAUACAAAUUUUAGGAUUAUUUGUUCUAGCUCUGUGAAAAAUGCUGGUGUUAUUUUGAUAGGGAUUGCAUUGAAUAUGUAGAUUGCUUUGGGUAGUAUUGACAUUUUAACAAUGUUUGUCCUUUCAAUCCAUGAGCAUGGAAUAUUGUUCAAUUUUUUGUGUCUUCUUCAAUUUCUUUCAUAAGCUUUCUAUAGUUUUCAGUGUAUAGAGUUUUCACGUCUUUGGUUAGGUUUAUUCCUAGAUAUUUUAUGGUUUUUGGUGCAAUUGUAAAUGGGAUCAAUUCCUUUAUUUCUCUUUCUGUUGCUUUAUUAUUGGUGUAUAGAAAUGCAAAUGAUUUCUGUGGGUUGAUUUUAUACCCUGUGACUUUGCUGAAUUCAUUGAUCAGUUUUAUCAGUUUUUUGGUGGAAUCAUUUGGGUUUUCUGUAGAGUAUCAUGUCAUCUGCGUAGAGUGAAAGUUUGACUUCCUCCUUGCUAAUUUAGAUGCCUUUUAUUAUUUGUGUUGCCUGAUUGCUGAGGCUAGGACUUCCAAUACUAUGUUGAAUAACAGUCGCAAGAGUGGACAUCCUUGUUGUGUUCCUGACCAUAGGGGGAAAGCUCUGGUUUUCCCCAUUGAGGAUGAUAAUCGCAGUGGGUCUUUCAUAUAUGGCUUUUAUGAUCUUGAGUUAUGAUCCUUUUAUCCCUACUUUCUUGAGGGUUUUUAUCAAGAAAGGAUGCUAUAUUUUGUCAAAUGCUUUCUCUACAUCUGUUGAGAGGAUCAUGUGGUUGUUGUCCUUUCUUUUAUUGGUGUGAUUUAUACCAAUGAUUGUGGAUAUUGAACCAGCUCUGCAUCCCAGGUAUAAAUCCCACUUGGUCAUGGUGAAUAAUUGUUUUAAUGUACUGUUGGAACUGGUUGGCUAGUAUCUUGUUGAGGAUUUUUGCAUCCAUGUUCAUCAGGGAAAUUGGUCUGUAGUUAUCCUUUUUAGUGGGGUCUUUGUCUGGUUUUUGGAAUCAAGGCAAUGCUGACUUCAUAGAAUGAGUUUGGAAGUUUUCCUUCCAUUUCUGUUUUUUGGAACAGCUUCAAAAGAAUAGGUAUUAACUCUCCUUUAAAUGUUAGGUAGAAUUCCCUUGGAAAGCCAUCUGGCCCUGGGCUCUUGUUUUAUUGGAAGAUUUUUGAUUACUAAUUCUAUUUAUUUACUGGUUAUGAGUCUGUUCAAAUUUUCUAUUUCUUCUUGUUUUAGUUUUGGUAGUUUUAUGUUUCUAGGAAUUUGUCCAUUUCUUCCAGAUUGCCCAAUUUAUUGGUGUAUAAUUGCUCAUAAUAUUCUCUUGUUGUUGUUUGUAUUUCUGCAGUGUUAGUUGUGAUCACUUCUAUUUCAGUCUUGAUUUUAUUUAUUUGGGUCCUUUCCUUUUUCUUUUUGAUCAAACUGGCUAGGAGUUUUUCAUUUUUGUUAAUUCUUUCCAAGAACCAGCUCCUGGUUUCAUUGAUCUGUCAUACUGUUGUUUGGUUUCUAUAGUAAUGAAUUCUGCUCUAGUCUUUAUUAUUUCCUGUCUUCUGCUGUUUUGGGGUUUUAUUUACUGUUCUUUUUCCAGUUCUUUAAGGUGUAAAGUUAGGUUGUGUAUCUGAGAUCUUUCUUCCUUCUUUAGGAAGGCCUGGAUUGCUACAGACUUUCCUCUUAUGACCACCUCUGCUGGGUCUCCGAGAUUUUGGACUGUGGUAUUAUCAUUUUCAUUGGCUUCCAUGUACUUUUUAAGUUCCUCUCUAACUUUCUGGUUAGCUCAUUCAUUCUUUAGUAAGAUGUUCUUUGGUCUCCAAGUAUUUGUUGUCUUUCCAAAUUUUUUCUUGUGGUUCAUUUUGAGUUUCAUAGCGUUGUGAUCUGAAAAUAUGUAUGGCAUGAUCUCCAUCUUGUGUACUUGUUGAGGGCUAAUUUGUGUCCCAUUAUGUGAUCUCUUCUGGAGAAUGUUCCAUGUGCAGUGGAGAAGAAUGUGUAUUCUGCUGCUUUAGGAUGAAAUGUUCUGAAUAUAUCUGUUAAGUCAAUCUGGUCCAGUGUGUCAUUCAAAGCCAUUGUUUCCUUGCUGAUUUUCUUUUUAGAUGAUCUGUCCAUCGUUGUAAGUGGGGUGUUGAAGUCCCCUACUAUUAUCGUAUUGUUAUCAAUGAGUUUCUGUAUGUUUGUGAUUGAUUUAUACAUCUGGGUGCCUCCAUCUUUGGAGCAUAAAUGUUUGCAAUUGUUAUAUCUUCUUGGUGGAUAGACCCCUUAAUUAUGAUAUAAUGCCCUUUUCUUCAUCUCUUGGUACAGUCUUUAUUUUAAAAUCUAGAUUGUCCGGGGCGCCUGGGUGGCGCAGUCGGUUAAGCGUCCGACUUCGGCCAGGUCACGAUCUCGCGGUCCGUGAGUUCGAGCCCCGCGUCGGGCUCUGGGCUGAUGGCUCGGAGCCUGGAGCCUGUUUCCGAUUCUGUGUCUCCCUCUCUCUCUGCCCCUCCCCCGUUCAUGCUCUGUCUCUCUCUGUCCCAAAAAUAAAUAAACGUUGAAAAAAAAAUUAAAAAAAAAUAAAAAUAAAAUCUAGAUUGUCUGAUAUAAGUAUGGCUACUCAGGCUUUCUUUUGGUGACCAUUAGCAUGAUAGAUGGUUCUCCAUCCACUUACUUUCAAUCUGAAGGUGUCUUUUGGUCUAAAAUGUGUCUCUUGUAAACAGCAUAUAGAUAGAUCUUGAUUUCUUUUCCAUUUUUUGACUGGAGCAUUGAGUCCAUUGACGUUUAGAGUGAAUACUGAAAGAUAUGAAUUUAUUGCCAUUAUGUUGCUUGUAGAGUUGGAGCUUCUGUUGGUGUUCUCUGGUCCUUUCUAAUCUUUGUUGCUUUUGGUAUGUAUGUAUGUAUGUAUGUAUUUAUAUUUUCAUCUUUUCUCCCCUCAGAGAGUGGCCCUUAAAAUUUCUUACAGGGCUGGUUUAGUGGUCACAAACUCCUUUAAUUUUUGUUUGUCUGGGAAACUUUUUAUCUCUCCUUCUAUUUUGAAUGACAGUCUUGCUGGAUAAAGAAUUCUUGGCUGCAUGUUUUUCCAAUUCAGCACAUUAAAUAUGCCUUGCCACUCCUUUCUGGCCUGCCAAGUUUCUGUGGAUAGAUCUGCUAUGAACCUGAUCUGUCUUCUCUUAUAGGUUAAGGACUUUUUUUUCCUUUGAUGCUUUCAUAAUUCUUUCCUUGUCUGAGUAUUUUGUGAAUUUGACUAUGAUAUGCCUUGUUGAUAGUCAAUUUUUGUUGAAUCUAAUGGUAGUUCUCUGUGUUUCAUGGAUUUUGAUGUCUGUGUCUUUCCCCAGGCUAGGAAAGUUUUCCAUUGUGAUUUGCUCACAUAAACCUUCUACCCCUUUUUCUCUGUCUUCAUCGUCUGGGACUCCUUUGAUUUGGAUGUUAUUCCUUUUUAAUGCGUCAGAACUCAUUGUAGUUCUCUAAUUCUUAUAUUGUGCUCAUUUGCCUUAGUUUCCCUCUUUGUUUCUGCUUCAUUAUUCUCCAUAAGUUUGUCCUGUAUAUCGCUGAUUCGCUGCUCUGCUUCAUCCAUCCUUGAUGCCAUGGCAUCAAUUUGAGAUUACAUCUCAGUUAUAGCAUUUUUAAUUUUGUCCUCACUAGAUUGUACUUUUCUUAUCUCUGCAGAGGGGAAUUCUAUGCUUUUUUCAACCCCAGCUUAGUAUUAUUAUUAUUAUUGUGAUUCUAAAUUCUGGUUCAGACAUAUUGCUUGUAUCUGUGUUAAGUCACUGGCUGUCAUUUCUUCCUGUUCUUUCUUUUGAGGUGAAUUCCUUUGUUUUGUCAUUUUCAAGGAAGAAAAAGAAUUAAUGAAAUAAAAAAUAAAUGAAAAUAAAUAAAUAAAAUUUAAAAAUUAACAACAACACAAAAAAAAAUCAAAUAAAGGAUGCUAGAUCUUAGGUGUGUUUUGGUCUGGUUGUUGAAAAAAGCUUGAUAGAAUAGAGAAAAAAGGGGAAGAAAAGGGAAAAAAAAGAAAAGGAAAACGUUUGAAAAUUUAAAAAAAUGAAUACAGUAAAAUAGAAUAAAAUGAAAUGAAAGUAAAAUAGAAUUUUAAAAAAAUUUCCAAAAACGUAAAAAAAUAUAUUAGGAAAAAAAUUUAAAAUCUUUUUUAUAAAAACGGAAAAUAAAAACAUUUUUUUCUCUUUCUGUAUUCAAGAAUAAGAAAAAAAAAGAAAAAAAUUGAAUAGAUGGACCAGUGAACAGAAUGAAAUAUGAUUGAAAUUACAUCCAGUUUCCCCUAGAAGUCAAACUAUGAUGCACUUUAUAGUCUGUAAACUACACAGGCGGAGAGACUUCUGGUGUUCCUCUAGAGCAUGGUUCAUGCUCCAUUCUCCACUAGAUGGUGCUGCUUAGUUUACUGGAGUGGAAUGUGUGGCAUGUGUAGGCGUGUAUGCACAUGCGUGGGAGGGGUGAAAAUGGCGUUACCCAGCUAGCCAGUCUCUAGUAUCAGAACUCUGUGCUCCCCCCCACAGGUAAUCAACCACCCCUUUUUGUUUCUGCUUCUGUCCAUUACCAGACCAUUAGCCUGUCAGGUGGCACUUCCCUCCUAUUAUCUCAGAUGGAGCUGUGUUUCUAAACCCUUCACUUCUGAGGACCCUGUUGCUUUGACUUGCUCUGAUCCUUUGGGGGAGGGUCUUGCUGAUCAAUGGCUGGGUACCAGCCAGUCCCCAGAAAUGUUUGCACAACUGUGCUGCUGCACAUGCCCAGAGACUGUGGCCAGGUGCCAUCUAGCCCCAGAAAAAGUUCACGGGAUCAUGUAGCAGCAGCAUUGCAAAGAUUAUGGUAAAUCACAACACAUAUCUGGUGCCCAGCUUCACCCUUAAUGGCCUUCUUCCAACACCAGCAAACGUGGCUGUUCUCUGGGGUUUGCUGGGACCUCUUCCUGUGGGGAGGCCGCACAGCCUCUACCAAAUGUCCUCUCAGCAGAGGAACUGCCUCUCCCCGUGUGGCCUGAGGCCCCCUUAGACUUGGCUGUCUGCUCCUGGGGAUUCACCCUUCCCACCAGAGCCCCUCCAGGUAUCUGCAGAGUUUCAGAUUCUGCGCUCUGCUGUUUAUAGAGACUUAAUGGAAUUUAAACCCUCUCCUUUCUCCUUUCUCCCUUCUCCCUUUCUUAUUAAGUCUCUUAUGGCUGUUUCCACUCUUUAUCUUUCUCUCCAGCUGCUUUCUGCGGGGGGUGGGGGGUGGGGGGUGGGGAGUGCUUUUUCUGUACUCUCCACCUGUCUUCAUCCUCUCUCUGCAAGCAACUACCCUUGCAGCUUCUCUCUCUCCCAGUUCUCCUCUCCGCACCCUAUACCUGCUGAGUUCUGUGGUUCCAGUUGUGCAGAUUGUUGUGUUAAUCCUCAGAUCAGUUUUUUAGGUGUGCAAGAUGGUUUGGUGUUGAUCUAGCUGCAUUUCAGGGAUGAGAGAGGCAAAAAAAACUUCCAUGCUGCUCCGCCAUCUUGGCCCUGAGUCCCAGUGAUGCAUAUUUGUUGUCUUAAGAUUGAGGACUCUACAAUUCUGAGCUCAGGAAAAAAGUGUUACCAUUCUUAAGACUGUUAAGGCUAACAUUAAACCCUUUCCUACACUCCCUUUUGAAUGUGAUGAUGGAUGGGAUCAAUAGCUUGGAUUUGGCCUCCAUCAACUUAAUAUACAUAUUACUCAAAUAUAUAAAAGUAUAAAAUAUAUUUGAAUACAUUUUUAAGCUUUAUAGUUAUAUAGUUAUAUGAUAUAACUUCAGGAUGGAAGGAUAACUCCCUUUGGCCAACAAUACCUUUUCUCACCAGAACCUUUUCCCCAAAGGCUGGAAUAUUAGUUGAUGAUCCUCUUAACUUGGAGAAAUACUUUUUUUUUUUUUAAUUUUUUUUUUCAACGUUUUUAUUUAUUUUUGGGACAGACAGAGACAGAGCACGAACGGGGGAGGGGCAGAGAGAGAGGGAGACACAGAAUCGGAAACAGGCUCCAGGCUCCGAGCCAUCAGCCCAGAGCCUGACGCGGGGCUCGAACUCACAGACCGUGAGAUCGUGACCUGGCUGAAGUUGGACGCUUAACCGACUGCGCCACCCAGGCGCCCCAGAGAAAUACUUUUUUUUAAGUUUAUUUUAUUUGGUUUGAGAGAGAGCAAGCGAGUUCAUGAGCAAGAAAGGGGCAGAGAGACAGGGAGAGAGAGAAUCCCAAGCAAGCUCCAUGCACUGUCAGCACGGAACCCCAUGGGGGGGGCUGGAUUUCAAGAGUCAUGAGAUCAUGACCUGAGCUGAAAUCAAGGGUCCCAUGCUUAACCAACUGAGCCACCCAGGUGCCCCUUGGAGAAAAAAAAAUGUUAAGUUUAUUUAUGCACCUUGACAGAGAGAGAGAGAGAGAGAGAGAGAGAGAGAGAGAGAGAAUCUCAAGCAGAUGCAUUGUCAGCAAGGAACAUGAUACAGGCCUCGAACUCACAAGCCAUGAGAUCAUGACCUGACCUGAAGCUGGACGCUUAUACAACUGAGCCAGCCAGGUACCCUGAGAAAUACUUUUAAAUUGGAAGAUCCAUGGGGGUAUUUCUUUAUGCAGGUUCUCAAAAGAGAAAAAAACACAAUUCCUUCCAAAACUAAUAUGGAAAGUUUAUGUCUCUCUAUAUUUGCCACUCUAUUCUCUCUAUUUGAUCUGUGGGAACAAUAGCACUUUGUACUCAACACUAAGAUGUACUGAUGAAUAUUUUACAUUUAUCAGCAUAAAAACACAGAGGUAAAAACUCUCUUAUCUAUCCCUGAGGGGUUCUUCCAGUUAGAUGUGUUAUUUUGGGGGGUAAACUAUGCUCAUUUUUCAGUAAUCUAAUUUUGGUUUCCUGUUUUUGUUAGGAAAAAGAAACAGUAUAUAUGAUAUUUAAGCCAGAUAAAUUAAAAACAGGGUAUAUAGGGGCUUCUGGGUGGCUCAGUUGGUUAAGCAUCCAGCUUUAGCUCAGGUCAUGAUCUCACAAUUUGUGGGUUUGAGCCCUGCGUUGGGCUCUGUUUUGACAGCUCAGAGGCUGGAGUCUGCUUAAGAUUCUGUGUCUUCCUGUCUCUCUUCCCCUCCCCUGCUUGCACUUCGUCUCCCUCCCCUGCCUCUCAGAAAUCAACAUUAAAAAAAAAAAAUUUAAAACAGGGUUUAUAGACAGAUCCAAACACCAGACCUGGGGCUGCCCUAUGCAUAGGAAGACACAAUAUCAUUCUGCCUGCUGACGGCAAUACCCAUCUGGCCAUGGUAAGCCCUAAGCAGUGAGUCUGAGUGUCUGUGGAUUCCAGCCUGAGCUCAUUUCUCUAAUUCCAUCCACAAGCCAGCAUUCGGGGACUUUCCAACUUUGGGUUAUUACAAAUAGUGCUCGAUGAAUACCAUUGCAUGUCUUUUUGUGAACAUGUAUAUGCAUUUCUACUGGGUAUCGAAUUGCUGGUAAGGACAUGUUUUGAUGAAGCUAAGAAGAGAGUGUGCCAAAAAUAUAAGGACAUUAUUCUUUAUUCUGAAGGGAGGGGCUUGUUGAAGACUCAGUAAUCAUUGAACAAGAGUAUUAGAAAAGAGGGUAGGGAUUGAUCUAGGCAGUGUUUCUCAAAUACUAAUGUGUCUAAAAAUUGUUAUAGGUUGAGUUGUGUUCUCCGAAGUUCAUAUGUUGAAGUCCUUACCCUCCUGUACUCAGAAUGUGACUGUUAUUUGGAGAUGGGGUCUUUAAAGAAGUGGUUAAGUGAAAAGGAGGUAUUUAGGGUGGGCCUUAACCCCACACGGUUGAUGUCCUUAUAAGAAGAGGAGAUUUGGACAUAGACACAGAGGAAGAACCAUGUGAAGACCCAGAGAGAAGAUGGCCAUCUACAGGCCAAGGAGAGAGGCCUCAGAAGAAACCAACUUUGUUGACACCUUGAUCUUAGAUUUCUAACCUCCAGAAUUACAAGAAAAUAAAAUUUCUGUUGUUCAAGCCACUCAAUCUGUGCUACCUUGUUAUGGCUAUCCUCGCAAUCUUGUUUAAAUGCAGACUCUGUUCAGUAGGUGUGGGUGUGGACUCAAGGUUUUUAUUUCUAACAAGAUUGCACAUAAUACAGAUGCUGCUGGCCCAUGGACCACACUGUGGUAGCAAGGAUCUAAACUACAAGUGAGGAACUUCUCUUAGGAGGAGAGACCUUUCUCUCUAACAGGAAAGGAAGAGAGUUCAGGACGGAAGAGUAAACUUGUAUGUGGGAGGUAGAGGAUCAGGGGCAAACUGGCUCAGCGGAUCCAAAAAGGAUGCGUAUGUGUUGGGUGGGGGAGGGAGAGGCCCUGAAUAAUGAUGUUUGCUGGUUCCUGUGGUAUAAAUACUCUCUCCGUGGCUGACUUUAAUUACCAAGAUUUUGGGGCGCCUGGGUGGCGCAGUCGGUUAAGCGUCCGACUUCAGCCAGGUCACGAUCUCGCGGUCCAUGAGUUCGAGCCCUGCGUCAGGUUCUGGGCUGAUGGCUCAGAGCCUGGAGCCUGUUUCCGAUUCUGUGUCUCCCUCUCUCUCUGCCCCUCCCCCAUUCAUGCUCUGUCUCUCUCUGUCCCAAAAAUAAAUAAACGUUGAAAAAAAAAUUUAUAAUUACCAAGAUUUUAACAACUGGCUUGCAAAGUUCCUGGAAGUUUGACAAUGGCCUCUUGCCACAGGUAGGGCCAGCUCCAGCUCACGUCUGUCCUGGAUGCUGCGAGGGGCCUGCCUGAUUUCCCUGCCUUCUCUCAUGGGACCAGAAUGUGCUUCUCUUGUGGGGACACAGGUAAGAUCUGUCAUGGCUACUUGAAGAAAAUUAGUAGAGACUGGAACUAGAGCUGAUGUCCCAUGAGUUGUCAUUGAAGAGGAGCGCUCACUGGAGCUCUGGGUAAGGGGAGGAGCAGAUACAAGUCGAAGCCCCUGUAUCUCCUUUCCUCCCUCCCUGUGGACACUCAGAAUGAGUGACAGCUCCUAGGGGCCAGGCUGACUCCAGGGCAGGCAGCUAGCUUGCAAGUGAGGGCAAAUGGGAGAGGCCGGAAGUUAUGCUUCUGUAAUUCCCAUUUCCGCUCUCAGCUCUCAGGAAGAGCCCACCCUUCAGGAAGAGCCCACCCUUCCUGCACAGAUAAUCUUUGAUUUUCUCCUCUUCCAUAGUUAGAGAGAGCUGAGCUACGAUCUUUGUCUCUCCUUUGUCAGACUGCCCUCUGACUCACAGUAAUGUGAGUAAAUGUAACAAUUGAUUAUAAGAAUUUUGAAAUUAGGUAUUUCAGAUUAAAUAUUUUAAAUGAGUUUAGGGAAAAACAGUUCUUUUUGAAAAACUCUGCUGGCCUUAGUUGUUUUGUAGCUGUUUUACUCUUGUGUCCCUAGGACAGGGAAAACAUGAGAAUUUGGGAAGAGUUUUGGUGUGUUUAUAAGAAGAAAAAAUCUGUGCAUUGUCUUGGACCAGAACUUCCCACGUAGUUACACCGGGGGUGUGGGUGCUGGGAGACAGGUGGGGGAUAAUACAUGUGUGCGUGGGCACAUUAUGUUGUCUGGAUUCUAGGAUUUAACUCUGUUUUUCCAGGUUGAAAAAACACUAACAUCUGAGAAGUUCAGAUCCUGGAUAAAUCCAAAAAAGCUGACUAAAGAAAGUUCAAUUUCUCCUCCACAGAUUAAAGCUGGAGGAGACUUACAGCUUGGAGUCUUUUUUUUUUGAAGUUUAGGACUGGUGUGUUUAAGGAAGCCAAGGCCAACUUUCCUGGAAUGUUAAUGAGAAGUGUGUGUCCAAGGUCAUGCACAGAAACCUUGCAAGGGGACUAGUGAAGAAGGCACAGAGGCAGUGUCUGUGCUCAGGACUGCCUGGGCCACAGAACAGAACCCAGACUUCACGGACGGUCCUUUUCUUCUCUUCCUCCGGCACCACAAAACUGGCAGCAUUUUGUUCUGUAGUGGGUUCUCUUCUCCAUAAAAAGGCACAGUUGCUGGCCAUGUCCUCCCUUCCCCUUCUGCCUACCUUGCCUUGAUUUAAAUCUUGAGUGACCAAAUCAGUGUAGCAAUUUGCAUGGCAAAAUAAAAUGUGUGCACUUGGGUGGUUUGUGAAUGUUCGUUGGGAACAUUCCACAGCUGCUUGAAUAACUGAGGCUUUGGAUGUGUGAUGUUUGGGGCUGAUGCUUGUUUUGCAAUAUUUGAGGUGUCCUUGAGUGGUUCUGCCCUCCCUCUAUAAUCUGGGAUGGCUCCCCUCUCAGACUGUGCUUACUAUUUGUGGGUGUUUUUGGAGCAUCUCAGGGAUCCAUGGACCAGUCCUCUGCUCUUCUGUCCUGGGAUCACAUCAGAGCUCUGCUGCUCACUCCUGCCAACCUCCUCAGGAAAUGCCAGUGCCCAGGCCCUGUGGCUCACAAAGCCAGAGAUCUUGUCAUGUUAACCCUGCAGCCACCCAGGGUCUGUCUCUUCAACAAUUGAGGCAGUAUCCUUCAGUGUCUUCUUUAGUGCCACACACAGCCCUACAUGUUCCAUAUCUCAGAGAGUCCCUUGUAGAAAUAACUCAGGUACACGUCCAGGCCUUAGCAAUGAGCUUUGGGACUGGGCUAGGAGGUGGUACUCUGAAGCAGAAGCCUGCAGCCCUCUCCAUCUCUGUCCCUGGAAGCACACACCAAACUCUGCCUAGUUCUCCUGAAGCCCCCAAGGAAACCCUCACAUACUCACCAGCUCCUGGGAACAAUGGCCCGUGUUUAUCACACAUGCUCUGAUGUGGCUCAGGCGUAUCUCUUGCUAAAGAAAAGAUCUCCCUACAUUAAUGUAUAUUUUGAUUACAAAAGAAUAUGUGUCGUGGCAGAAAUUUGGACUAUAGAAAAUAUGAAUAAAAUUUAAGUUGUCCACAGAUCUGUGGCCACGCACUGAAGAAGUUCUCAGACAGAUGUGAGCGGACAUGCAGGGCUGACUCUGGGAGACAGCAGCAGCCACAGCAGCCUGCACACAGCCUUUAUUUCCUAUCUCAUUCGAUAGAAGUAUCAAAGAAGAUCACAGCAUGGAAAGAGGGCACAGAGGAUCUUUAGACAUUAACCAGACAUGCACCUGGUGGCUACAUGAAGGCAGGCAGGGAGCACAUCUAGUUUCAAGGAGUGUCAGGGAGUUAUAGCAGGUUUUGUAUCUUAACUGUCCCCUGGGGGAUCAUGAGGCUCUGUAUCUCAUAAUGCUAUUGCCUUCAACAGCCUUUAGACCAGAACCUUGCUGACAGUUCAGCUAUCCCCAUUCACCCUCCAGGACAUAUAAUACAUUCUCUAGAAAUAACUCCACACAAAUCCACACCCAGCAAUCACUACUGUUGAUGGUGAGAUGUGUAUAUUUUUAUAUAUCCCCUUCCUUGGGGAAGGUCAUUGAAAAGGCAUGACUGCCAGUUGACCUGUGAGCUGGACCCAGGCCCUCAGAGGCUCCACACACUCUCUCCCCUGUCCUGGGUAUGUGGGUUUCACUUAACCUUUCCCACUUGCAGAGACUGCUCCAAGGACACGGUUUUGAGACUGAUGUGGCGUGGAAAAUACCUGCAUGGUGUAUGUGACUGAACUCAGUUAAGGUCUCUUUAGAAACUUUUUAAGAUUUGGUGGGUGGGUGCUGGGAUCCAUUCAUCUUGUUGCCACCCAAUACAAGCCAAGCUUAAUAAAACUGCCACCUGUCUACCAACCUGGAGUGUCCUGCCUCUUUCUUCAGUCUCUCCCUGCCCUCCGAGCAUGGAGCUGGUUUCAUAUUCUUCCAAGGAAGUUCCUAGGAGGGUUUCCAA
RNAcentral lists this long non-coding RNA (45377 nucleotides) under Lynx pardinus (Iberian lynx). Lineage: Eukaryota; Metazoa; Chordata; Mammalia; Carnivora; Felidae. The record is from RNAcentral.